CUUCUAUGUUUAUAUUGUUUUUAGUUGUUUAAGUUUAAGAACUUGUAUGGCAACGAACUCUAGAUGAUUUUGUGGAUGAUGUAAAGUUCCUUUAUGUCCAUUUGCAACCGAUUUUCUUGUGUGUUUGCAGUCCAUUUUGUUGUUGUGUUAUUUGAUAACGUAAAGUAGCUCACGUUUCAUAUGUAGUAUGGAUAUAGAUGUCGUAUAUGAGAAUCUGGAUGUGAAGAGAUAAAUAUGAGAUGCGUUCGGCCAGUAUUGGUGGAUGUGUCCAUGGAUAUUUGAGGGGCCAAAUUAGCCCGUCUCAACUGUAGAUGCUCUAAUUAUGUGUGGACCUGGUCUUAAACUCAUAAUGAAUAUUUUACAGUUUUACAAGUUUGUCAAAGAGAAGGUUUAAGUGGUUUGUGGUCUCCACCACAAGAUAUGUCUUUUUGAUUGAACAAUCUGUGGAAGCUCUGUGGCGCGCUGGGCGUGGUUUGAUGACAGGGCGAGACGCAUGUACCCGUCGAUGGAUUCAAGGCCCUCCAUGUUAACGAGCAUCUUAUUAUAGUAUGGGCUUAAGACCGACACAGAUAUAGCUUAUUUUCUGUCUGAUGCACCUUACUCGGGCCUGUUCUCGAUGCACGAGGAAAAUGCAGGUAUCUCCAUCAUCCCGUAGCUCAUCGACAACAGAAACUAGUCACUGAUAUAUGCGCUUUGUUCUGGAGGACAAGGAGCUUGAACCGGUGGCCACAACGAAGACGUUGGGACCACUUGGUGUCACACAAUGGCACAUCCCCGUCGCUCCCAAUGCCGACGGAGGUGGCAUAAACAACAACACAUGACGGAAUGGGAGGAGGGUGAUGGCAUAAUCUGGUAAGGCUAGUUGUGCUGCGACUCACUGCUAAAUUCCUGAUGCCUCUCAGACCUACAGUUGGUAUAUAUAGCCUUUUUCAAAGGUCACUUUUGUUUCUGGAACCAAACGGUUUUGUGAAAGAAAAUCGAUGUAUUGCCUCACAACUAUGCUUCUUGUAAGAACUUAAGAACACGGUGCGUGUGUCCCACCUAAUUAUUCACCUUCUACCGCAAGAAGCUGCAAUGAAUGAAUGAAUGAUUUGGUGCAUUAGUGACCAACCAUAUUGUCAUGUUAUAUGUUGUGAUGUCUAGGAAAAAAAUUUAGGUCCAGAUACUACAACCAAUAAACAUGCUAUGACAAAUGUACACUAAUACAAACCACUAUGAAAAAUCUGAAAUAAUUCACUGUAAAGUUAUGAAAUAAAAGGAAAGAUGUUGGUAUCAAUGAGCGAAUAUCAGGUGGAAACCAAAGUUACGAUGGAAACCAUGUGAAAAAAGUGAAGUAUUCAAAAUAAAAUGUUAUGUUAACAAAGUUAUUUUCUGCUAGCAUGUAAUAUCCCAAGUUCAAACUCUAAUCCAAAACAAAUUUUGUACUCCCUCUGUAACUUAAUAUCAGACAUUUUUUUACACUCUCAUGGAUCAAAAACAUCUUAUAAAAAGUUAAAGUGGCAGUAUCUCUUUAUUGGGAACGACAACUGAUGAUAGUGUAAUAAAGUCACUGAAGUUUUGACGUAAAGAAGACCCAAAUUUGUGUUGGGAUACCAAUGGAGUCAUUGUGAACCUUCAGGCACGGCUGUCGGUGGUAGUGUAAUAAAGUCACUGAAGUUUUGACGUAAAGAAGACCCAAAUUUGGCCACCAUAUUUGAAUUUUACUAUUUUUCUUGAGGUCAAUGAACACACUAAGAAAAUGUUUGAAUUCAUCUAAUGUUUUAUUUCUAAAUAUACUAUCUCACUUUGUAUUCAAAAUUACAAGGACAUUUUCUAGGAUAUAAUGUUCUCUAUUCAGAGGGUGGAAUAAUGAUGGAACAAAAGGAAUGCAACAUCGACCGGUUUGUUCCACAACAAUUGAAGUAAGGUGCCCACUAAUAGAAAACAGGGCUUUAGUCCCGGUUGGUAAGGGACUUUAGUCCCAGUUCACCAACCAGGACUAAUAACUUGGGACUAAAGCCCCCCCUUUAGUCCCGCUUUGACACGAUACGUGACUAAUUCCCUUUCAUAAAGUUCAUACAUAAAACAACAAGACUAAAAAGACCAAAUUAAUACAAGUUCAUACACACUUAUUCUCAUAAAACAACAUACAAGAGUAUCCAGCUAAAGCAUUUAAAUGCAACAACAAACGCGAUCAAGAUCGCAACUAAGGUAACAAUUGAUCCAACAUCAUAGUGAUAUCAAGCCUCUUUAUUAACGACAUAUUUUCUAAUCUUUCUAAUCUUCAAACGCAUUGCAUUCAUCUUGAUCUUAUGAUCAUCGACGACAUCAGCAACAUACAACUCCAUUUUCAUCUUCUCUUCUUCAAUUCUUUUCAAUUUUUCUUUCAAAUACUUGUUUUCUUUUUCAACUAAAUUUAACUUCUCGACAAGAGGGUCGGUUGCAAUUUCCGAUUCACAUACCUCCUAGAUAAAAAUAUCUAUGUCAACUUGAUGGGCAUAAUUAUCAUAAACGAGAAAUACAAAAAUACUUAUAAAAAAGAAUAUACCACAUCUGAAUCAUAAAUCGGAUGAGGUCCGACGGGGACGGAUAUCAAGACCAUGACACUUUGUAUAACAAACAAUCAUACAGGUAAGAAAACUAUCUAAAUCAUAUAAAUAAGAUUUUUCAUGUAUAAAAAGGAUAAGAACAAGAGAAUCGACAAGGUGGUGCCAGCGACGGGACGGUGCGGGAGAUCAAUGGUGAUUAGGAUGGGGACGGGAAGGCACUAAGUAAACCACACCUACACAUAUGCAAAUAAGAAGUUAAUUUGAGCUCAUAUUGGAUAUAAAUCAAAUAAACUCCCACAAAAUUACUCCUCAAACUAAAACCCGCAAAUCACUAUACUUAUAGAGCAUUGCACGAGCUAAUCUACCAAUAAAAGAUGAAAGGACAAAGUUGCUAACCUUUGUGAACACUUUGAGAGAUGGGGUGCCUCAAAUCUUGACAAAUUUUGAUAAAAAAUGGAGGAUGAGCUGAGCUAAGGGGAAGAAUAGAGAGGGGAAUGGAGAAAACAGAGAAUGGGCUCGGUCUGGACGAAGGGCUUAUAUAGGCAAAUCUUUAGUCUCGGUUUGUCUAUCUAGUCCCGGUUGGUGUUACCAACCGGGGACUAAAAGGGUUCGCAGGAGACCCAGCCUGCCAUCACCCCUUUAUUCUCGGUUGAUAACACCAAUCAGGAUUAGAGGUUAAAAAUAAACCGGGACUAAAGACUAACCUCAUGAACCGGGACUAGUGGCAGCAUUAGUCCCGGUCUAAAAGUCAACCGAGACUAAUGCUUCGAUCCAAAUGCCUGUUUUCUACUUCUGGCCUAGUGCAAGACAAACAAAAGAAAUCAAAAUGCUGCAAAACUCUGUUCAUCUAAAAAAAACAAUUGCAGUAGGCUAGAGUGCCCGAUUCUCUCACAUGGGGGAGGAGAGAUAGAGAGAAAGAGAUAAAAGCACCCAGAGACUCCUCCUAUCUCUAUUAACCCGAGCAAUUACGAACCGGACUGGUUGUGUUAUUUUUCUUUGGGCCGGCCUCCAUCCGCUGGCAUCGGGUGGGACGUUGUGCUGCGAACUGUAUCCAUUCGUCCAUCUCGUCAGAGUGGAGGGUCAAUCUGAGCAGGAGGGAGCUUGCACCGGUUUCAUCUGUGGUUGAAGAGGGACCAUAGCCGUUCCCUACGCUCGCGGUGGGUACAUAAACGGGGAUGCAUGUGGCUACGGCCUGCAGAUCGUCAACUCAUUGCUAAAUUGCUGAUACCUCUCAGGCCUAAAGAUUGCAUGCCAUUUUUAAUGGAAACAUGGUUACUCUCUUUUGGGACCAAUAGCUUGUCAAAUUUUCUUGAUGUGUUGCUUCACAGCUAUGCUUCUUAUUGAGACAUGUCCGUAUGCGUCUCACCAAAUUUUAUUCGCCUUUACCACGAGAUGUCGCAAUGAAUGGUUAACUUAAAACAGUACUGACCAACCAUAUUGCCAAGAUAUAAUCAAUAUCCUGAAGAAAAAAUAGUCGAAUACUACACCCGACAAACAUGUUAUAUUGAAUGUACAUUAAUAUUUAAUACAAACCACAUGGUAUACCAAUUGCGGAAGUAGGUAAGAAAACAUGAUAAAAUGAUAUUAAAAUGCACCGCUUGGUAUCACCAACUAAAUAACUGAUAGCAACAAGCGAUAUUUGCGUAGACCACACCACUCGCUUCUGGAUGAACAAAUUUUAAGCCUAAUAACUCGACACAGAAUAUUAUUGAGAUACAGAAAAAGAGAUGCAAUGUGAAACAUUAAAGUAUCAUAAUCAGUACAACACCAGCACCAUGGGUCUCCUGAAAAUUGUCCUUACUGUUCAGAGCAACACCAAAAUUUAUUAUGAACACAACUCAUGUAAUUUGACUCUCCAAACUUUGCUAGCUGAACAUGAAUGAGUACAGCCAAACGGAACUCGACUGCCACCACGAACUAGGUCUGAACUACACGAUCUCGUUGGUAGUUAGGACUGUUGAUUGAUUGUUUCAGAAGACACAUAACACAUGAGCGCACAGAAAUAACUUAGCAGGCAAGCAUAGGAGACAAAUCUGCCAAACGCUCUAUCAUGGCGACAAAACUCAAUUGCGCAGCAAGGUCAUGCAUGGCUGGAGCUCAUGGGACAUCACACCAUUCAUGCGCUUCCAGAGAUGCUAGUACAGAAACUAGAAAGUCAAGCCUGAUGCAUCACACCAUUGUUUUUGGGUUGGUAGCAUUUGUGCUACUGACUCAGAUGCCCUUUUUUUCGUCUGGUCUGACCUACUUGUAUGAGGGUUUUCUAGCCACUUUGUAUCGGUUUGCCACUUUCGGCUUUAACAUGACAUUUCCCUCGCUGCUAAAUUCCCACUACCUCUCAAUCCUACAUGCCACAAGCUGUUGUCUCUGAAAAAGGGUUGUUAUGUUUUUGUGACAACCUUUGUCAAUAUUUCUUAGGAUACUGUUGAAUACUAUGCUCAUUAUAUCGACAUGUGGUGUGUGUGCAACGAAUGGAAAAUUGAAUAUGACUAGAGAGGCCAGACCAACCAUACUAUCACCAUAUACAUUCUCCAUAGUAAACUUGGUAGACCAACAUAGUACACCCAACAAAAAACAUGCUAUGCUAAAGAGCAGCCACGGAAUCAACAAAUUUUUUACUUACAUGGAAUCAAAGAGAUUUUGAUUACACAUGGAAAGUGAGUCACUGACAUUUUAACACCAUCCUACCAAAGAGUAAGACAUGAAUAAUUCUGCAUAACUGAAAGAGGGAGUAACCGAGGAAGCAAAUGCGCAAUCAUUGCUCAAUUUAUUGAAUUGGGUGGCAAGUGCAAGCCAGCAGUAAAAUCAGCAUGCUACAAAAUUUUGUUCAUCUUAACAACUACAGCAAAGGAUAUGUGAAUCCGAAAUCUAAAAGGUACAUGGUCGGUUUUAUCUCUCGUUUCACAUCACUUGAGCAAUCAAGAAACAAAUAUAUCGCUAAUUAAGAGAAUUCCCAGUACUCAAAUUUCAAGGAAGUAUGUCAUGCCUGUGAUAUUAUUGUUUCUUGCUGAUGUCGGGCUUUACCGAGCAGGAGUUUUCACCAACUGAGUAGGCAGGUUCCAUCCAGUAGAGAACAUGAUCCUCUCCAUGGCGUACUCGCAGGUUAGGAGGUCCAAAUUUGAUUGCAUUUACAAAGCUGAAAAACAAUAGGUGCUAUUUCUGGAUCUGUUGCCUGGAGACCAAACACAUGGCAUGGGAAGCGCCUAUUGCAACCGAGAUGACACGAGGAGGGCUUGGAUCCUCGUCACCGUCAGCAAGAAAAUUAACUUUAACAGGUAAUGGUUGCACUUCUGGAAGAUCAGGAACGCCUAGCUGGCAGUCUCUUGCAUUUCCCCACAUGUACAAGUCACCUUUCUCUGGUCACACAAACAAAGUAAAUUCAGGUAAGCUGCUCAUAGUGAGAAAUUUUGAUUGCUUGCAUUUAGCUGACAUGCAAUGUGAUGUAGAACUAGAACAAGGCAACUGAACUAAGCUAGUUAAAACAAGAAUGUUGAGAGAGACAUCUUAUGAAACGAAUAAGAGGCUCUUACAGUGGCAAUAUAUCUGGGUUUCGCGUAUCAAAAUAAAUGGACUAACUGAAUUUUAGUUACGACAAUGGCAUUUUUUCUUUAUUACUCGAAAGUAAUUAAGUUGUGCAACGCCUGUUUCAUCAGCAAUACAUGCAAUUAAAUUUGUAUGCAAAGAAUCUACAAAACUAGUAAAUCUUAGAAAUCCUUUCUUUCAUCAGCAAUACAUGCAAUUAAAUUUGUAUGCAACACCUGUUUCCUGCAUAAUUACAACAGUAACAAAAGACUGAUUAUCUGGCUGACUGGUUAACUCUAAGAAUUUGCUCUCUCAUAUCACAAGUACAUGCCAGUCUUAUAAACUAUACAAAAGUCUCAGGUACUUUCUUUUGCUCCCCAAAUGGUUUUCAAAGUAGACAGUUUUAUUCUCAGUUACUCGAUGCCAGGUGGUGGUGGUGCAUGUUUGCCAUUUCCUAUGAAUCUUCAGUUUAGACAUUUGCGUACUACAAUUCAGUAAAGAAAAUAGCGAACAGAAGGUAGGUGAGGCUAAGAACAUGUCAAGAGUUCCCUGCACAGCAACAACCACCAUGUUAAGACGUAAAAGAGAAGCAGCAUUCACCUGAUAUAGCAGCGGAAGUUGAUCCUCCACAGGCUAUGUAGACAAUUCGCUCCUCAGACAGAGCUUUAAUGGCAAGUGGAACUCUAUGAUUUUGAAUGGUGGGAUGCCCUAGUUGGCCAUGUCCACCAUGUCCCCAUGAGAGAACUUCACCUUCAUCUGAAUAAAGUUAACAGAGGUAAGAUAUGUCACAUACUUGUAUGCUGCAACAACAAAUACAUUGUUCUGUGCUUCUAUAACAGCAGUCAUUAAUACAACUAAGUUUACAUCUCCAUGAAUAUAGUGGCAUUAUACUGAUGGCUUGCUGUAAGAUCCAACAGAACUUGAUUCAUGAUCAAAUGUGAUCUUAUGAUUGAAGAUCAUUAUUGCAGUCAAAACCAGCAGUAGGCUUAGUUAUCCAACUUGCUGAGACAAAGGCAAAUGUAUAUUCCUUUAUAACUCCUGUCUGAAUGUUUGUUUUCAGAACUUCGAUUGCAAAUUCUAAUUUCUCCAAUGUAAUGUGUUAUCAGAUUUUGAUAGGAGCCUGAAUUUCGAACAAGUAAAACAUACCAGUCAAGGCCAAAGAAUGGUAUCCACCGCAUGCUACUUGGAUUACAUGGACAUUUUUGAGGCUAGGGACAAUUUGUGGCCUCCAGUCACUCGAAUUGCUUCCUCUUCCCAGUUCGAAGUUUGAGUUUGCUGAAGAUCAUAGACAAGUUGUAGAAACUCAAUAAAUCCAUAUUAGAUGAGAUGCAUUUCAAAUUAAAUUAGUACAUAAGUCUCUUAUGACGGAACCUGGAAAGCCAGAAUAAAGACGUUGGGGCAGUUUCUUAUAUUUAGGAAUGGAGGCAGUACUAAGCAAGAUCGUUGAGAUUAAGGAAGCUUAAGAGCAUUUCAGAAAAUUAUCAUAACCCAUGUAAGUGUAACUUAUGCCCAAUGGAUGAAAUAAAAGGUCUGGGCAUGUAGUUGGAGGGAAAAUGUUGUGCAUAACCCACAACAUUUCACAUUAGCGAGAACCUUGUAAACUCAUAAUCGCAGCUUAAUAUGAACUGCAUGGUGUUGCAUUGCACAUUAGCAGCAAGUUAAGUCACAACUGUUUCCCUAGUUUUGUAGAAGAGCAUCAGUGCAGAAUAAGUUAAAUACAUGGUGUUUACUAGUUAAUAAAUUAAUACACAGUGACGUUCUCACCUCCCCAACUCCAUAGCUGCCCAUCCAAGGUCAGCGCCAGGGUGAAGAAGCCACCGCAAGCAACUGCAGCAACUGGAACAGGCAGCGCGCUCACCUUCGAAGGAACACUGAGAGAGCCGGCUUCACCUGGACCACCCCCACUCCCAAGCCCUAACCUUCCAUCGCCUUCAUCACGACCCCAAGUGUAAAGUUCACCUGUUACAAGUCAUCAAAAUGCAAGGAUCAGAGUGGAGGGAGUUUGAUGAACACAACGACAAUAUUUCAAAAUGACAACAUUAAAAGUUCUAUUUUCUUUCAUUUUCUCACACUAUUCAUUCGCACAAGGAAGUACAGUAACCAAAGAUAAAUAAAAAGUGUAUGCCCGGAUUAAGCGUGGAUAAGAAGUUAUAAACAACCUGAUUCUGUGAUUGCCGCAGUAUGCGCUCCGCUCGUGGCAAUGUGCACAAUCUUCCCUUCCCAAGGGCCGUUCACUUUCCUCGGCAACAGCUCUCUAUGGUAAACGUAGUGCCCCAGAGCUCCAAAUCCACCAUAACCCCUGCAGGCUACUAGAGUAAACUGAGUGAUGCAGCAGCCAGCCACAACCAUCGACCAUCACAACCAAAAUGCAGCACAUCCUUCUUCUCGCAGUACAUCCGGCAUCAGUGAAAUUUUCGGAAUGAGCGAGCAAUGUGGGAGCGUCGUGUCCUCACCAGGUGAAGACGUCGCCGGAGGCGGUGAGGGCGGCGGAGUGGAUGCCGCCGAGCGCGAGGACGCGGAGGCCGGCGAGGUUGGGGUUGGCGCGGGGGACAAAGGCGGAGGCCUCGUCGCCGAGCCCGAGGCGGCCGCCGUCGCCCUUUCCCCACACCCAGGCGGCCCCGUCCACGAGGAGCGCUGAGUGGAAGAGCCCGCAGGAGAUCCCCACCUCCACGCCGCCGGCCGCCUCCGUCCCUGAAGCGGGGGGCAGGCGCCCGGGGGNNNNNNNNNNNNNNNNNNNNNNNNNNNNNNNNNNNNNNNNNNNNNNNNNNNNNNNNNNNNNNNNNNNNNNNNNNNNNNNNNNNNNNNNNNNNNNNNNNNNCGGGAAGGGUCCCAUAUAAUCAAAGCCCCAGACAUCAAAUGGUUCAAUUGAUAAGUGAAUAGUUCAUAGGCAUUUCCUGAUGCUUAUUGAUGUUCCCUAUUCUUUGGCAUUCGUCACAAGUCAAGACAAACUUACGGGCAUCCUUGAAGAGAGUGGGACAAUAGGAACCUGAUUGCAAUACCUUAUGAGCAGUUCUGUCUCCAGCAUGGUGUCCUCCGUAGGCCUCGGAAUGACAGUUCUGUAGGAUCUGUCCCUGUUCAUGUUCAGGCACACAACGUCUAAUAACACCAUCUGCUCCUUCCUUAUAAAGGUGAGGAUCAUCCCAAAAGUAGUGUCUCAAAUCAAAGAAGAAUAUCUUCUUUUCCUGGUAGGUGAAACUGGGUGGUAUGUAUUUGGCUACGAUAUAGUUUGCGUAAUGAGCAUACCACGGUGCACUAUGUGAAGUUCGGAUGACAUUUAAUUGCUCAUCAGGAAAGCUGUCAUCAAUAGGUCGUGGGUCAUCAAGGACAUUCUCUAGCCUGGACAAGUUAUCUGCUAUAGGGUUAUCAGCACCCUUUCGGUCAACAACGCGCAGAUCAAAUUCCUAUAGCACGAGAACCCAUCUGAUUAGCAUAGGCUUAGCGUCCUUCUUCUCCAUAAGGUACUUAAUAGCAGCAUGAUUAGAGUGAAUAGUGACUUUGGAGUCAACUAUAUAAGAUCUGAACUUUUCACAUGCAAACACGACUGCUAAAAACUCCUUCUCCGUAGUGGCAUAGUUUCUUUGGGUACUGUCUAGAGUUUUACUAGCGUAGUGAAUAACAUCCAACUUCUUGUCAACUCUUUGUCCUAGAACAGCACCAACAGCAUAAUCACUAGCAUCGCACAUGAUUUCAAAGGGCAAGUUCCAAUCAGGUGGUUGAACAAUAGGUGCGGUUAUCAAGGCCUUCUUAAGUAUUUCGAAAGCUUCCUCACAAUCCCCAUCAAAAACAAAAGGAACAUCCUUUUGCAAGAGGUUGGUAACAGGCCUAGAAAUCUUAGAGAAGUCUUUAAUGAAACUUCUAUAGAAACCAACAUGACCUAGGAAGCUUUGUAUACCUCUGAUAUCUGUGGGGCAAGGCAUUUUCUCAUUGCAUCAACCUUAGCCUUAUCAACUUCAAUGCCUUUCUCAGAGAUUUUGUGUCCUAAGACGAUGCCUUCAUUAACCAUAAAGUGGCACUUCUCCCAGUUCAAGACGAGGUUGAUAUCUUUGCAUCUCUGUAAGACUCGAUCAAGGUUGCUGAGGCAAUUGUCAAAGGAAGAACCAUAAAUGGAGAAAUCAUCCAUGAAAACCUCAACAAUAUUUUCACAAAAGUCAGAGAAUAUAGCCAUCAUACAUCUUUGAAAGGUAGCAGGUGCAUUGCAUAAGCCAAAAGGCAUACGUCUAUAAGCAAAGUACCGAAGGGGCAGGUGAAAGUGGUUUUCUUCUGAUCAGAUUGUGCAACAGGCAUUUGCGAGAAACCUGAAUAACCGUCUAGAAAGCAGAAGUUUGUGUGUUUAGAUAGCCUUUCUAGCAUUUGGUUGAUAAACGGCGAAGGAUAAUGGUCUUUCCUGGUUGCCUUGUUCAGUUUCCGGAAGUCUAUCACCAUCCUAUAGUCAGUAAUAAUCCUUUGUGGGAUUAGUUCAUUCUUAUCAUUAGGAACGACGGUGAUACCUCCGUUCUUGGGUACGCAAUGUACUGGACUUACCCAAUCACUAUGAGCGACAGGAUAAAUGAUUCCUGCUUCGAGAAGCUUUAAUAUUUCUUUUCUCACGACCUCUUUCAUCCUUGGAUUUAAUCUCCGUUGAUCAUCAGCAACUGGCUUAGAAUCAGAAUCGGUUUUAAUCUUGUGCUGACAUAGAGUGGGACUAAUACCCUUAAGAUCAUCAAGAGUAUAUUCAAUAGCAGCAUGGUGCCUCCUCAAAGUUUUUAAUAACUUCUUCUCUUCGUGAUUCGAGAGGUGAGCACUAAUAAUAACAAGAUAUAUCUCCUUCUCAUCAAGAAGGCAUACUUAAGAGUAUCUGGUAACUGUUUUAGCUCGAACACAGGAUCACCCUUUGGUGGGGCAGGAUCCCCAAGCAGUUCAACAGGCGGAUUAUUCUUGAGAAUAGGAUAUUGUUCUAAAACAAUUUUAUCUAUCUCAUCUCUUUCAUCCAUAUGCAUAUCAUUCUCAUGCUCAACUAGAUAUUGCUCUAAAGGAUCCGUAGGAGGUACAGCAAUAGAGGCAAGAGCAAUGAUUUCAUCCCUACCAGACGACUCUUUUUCAUGGGGUUGUCUUCCAAACUUGGAGAAGUUAAAUUGAUGAGACACACCCUCGAAACUAACAGUGACAGUCUGUUUAACACAAUCAAUAUGAGCAUUAACAGUGUUGAGAAAGGGUCUACAAAAUAUGAUGGGACAAAGCUAUCUUAUGCAGUAGCAAGGACGAGCAAAUCAGUAGGAUACUUCGUCUUGCCACACAGGACUUCUACGUCUCUCACAAUUCCCACACGGCAGAUAGUGUCUCUAUUAGCUAGCGUAAUAGUGACAUCAAUGGGUUCUAACUCAGCAGCUGCAAUCUCAUCUUUGAUUUCAUCAUAAAGGGACCAGGGUAUUGCACUAACACUAGCACCCAUAUCACAUAAACCAUGAUAACAGUGAUCUCCUAUCUUGAAAGAAACAACGGGCACGCCAACUACAUGUCUGAAUUUGUCUUUCACGUGAGGUUUAGCAAUUCUAGCGGAGUCCUCACAGAAGUUGAUAACAUGCCCGUCCAUGUCUUCGGCUAAGAGAUCUUCGAUAAUUGCAACACUAGGUUCAACUCUAAUUUACUCACGGGGUGCAAGUGGUCUAAUGUAACCCCUACGAAUCACAGUUGGAGAUUUAGAAUAAUCCUUUUUCCUAGCAGGGUAAAGUGGUUUCUCAGCAUAGGCACGGGGAACAAUAGGAUCACUAAAGGCAAUGACUUUCUCUUCAACUAGAUUGUGUUUAACUACGUUGACUUCUACAGGAGGAUGAUACUUAAACCACUUCUCUUUGGGAAGAUCAACAUGAGCAUCAAAAGAUUCACAUAGAGAAGCUACUAUCUCAGAGUCAAGUCCAUACUUAGCGCUAAAAUCUCUAGAAGUGUUUGUUUCAACAAAAGAUUUAACGCAAUCAAACUGGAAAUUCAUACCUGACUCCUUACCUUCUUCAAGCUCCCAAUCUUUAGAGUUACGUUUGAUUCUUUCCAAUAAAUUCCACUUGUGGUCAAUAUCCUUCUUCAUAAAAGAACCGGUACAAGAAGUGUCAAGCAUGGUACGAUCAUCAUGAGAAAGCCGAGCAUAAAAGUUUUGAGUGAUGAUUUCUCUCGAGAGCUCAUGAUUGGGGCAUGAAUAUAGAAUUGGUUUAAGCCUCCCCCAAGCUUGGGCUAUGCUUUCCCUAUCACGAGACCAAAAGUUAUAAAUAUAAUUCCGAUCACGAUGUACUAAAUGCAUAGGAUAAAUCUUUUGAUGAAAUUCCAAUUUCAACCGAUUGUAGUCCCAUGAUCCAGUAUCAUCACAUAGCCUAUACCAUGUCAAUGCCUUAUCCUUCAAAGAUAAAGGAAAUAAUUUCUUCUUUACCUCAUCCUCGGGCAAACCUGCAAGCUUAAAUAAACCACAAACUUCAUCUACAUAGAUUAGAUGAAACUCUCGAUGUGAAGAUCCAUCUCCUGUGAAAGGAUUAGCCAGCAGUUUCUCAAGCAUACCCAAAGGAAUUUCAUAAAAAGAUAUUUUCAGUAGGUACCUCAGGUUGAGGAGAAACUCCUCGUGCUUCCGUUCAUGGUGAAGAUACCCCGAACAAAUUCCUCAAAGGAACAGUUUCCAUAGUGACAAGUGACAAUAAAUUUCAGCACACUAUAUAAAUGUUUCCUUACCAAAUUCCACUUACCAAAGGCGCUUCCCUCCCCGACAACGGCGCCAGAAAAGAGUCUUGAUGACCCACAAGUAUAGGGGAUCAAUCGUAGUCCUUUCGAUAAGUAAUAUUGUUGAAACCAACGAGGAGCAGAAAGCCCUGAUAAAUGGUUUUCACCAAGGUAAUAACUGCAAGCACUGAAAGUAGCGGUAACAAGUGAUGGUGUAGUGAGGUGAAACGUAGCAGGUGAAAAGUAAUAAGUAACAAGAGUAGCAACGGUGCAGCAAAGUGGCCCAAUCCCUUUUGUAGCAAGGGACAAGCCUGAACAAAGUCUUAUAAGAGGAAAAACGCUCCCGAGGACACAGGGGAAUUUCUGUCAUGCUAGUUUCAUCAUGUUCAUAUGAUUCACGUUCNNNNNNNNNNNNNNNNNNNNNNNNNNNNNNNNNNNNNNNNNNNNNNNNNNNNNNNNNNNNNNNNNNNNNNNNNNNNNNNNNNNNNNNNNNNNNNNNNNNNUCUAGCCAAGACCCGGGACUAAAGGUCCUCCUAUAUAAAACGACACUUCGAAGUUUCCAACCCCUCUUAUAUAGUUUGUUAGUUUAUUAGUUAAUCAAAUGUCCAUUUUUUGCAGAACUAUGGAUCCACAUAUCAGGAACCUCGAAGAGGAAGAACUUCUCGAAGAUAUAAUCAAAGACGGCCGUGCCGUUGAACCAGCUGAAUCUCCGUCGUCAUAUCUAAACCCCUCCGGAUANNNNNNNNNNUGGCCCCGACGUUGAACCAGCUGAAUCUCCGUCGUCAUAUCUAAACCCCUCCGGAUAUGGAAUGGAGGUCGAGCAACACGAAGAUGAAGCCGAUGGGGCAGGAGAUAGGUCCAAUGACGGAGAAGGUGAUAGCUCCACUGAUGGAGAAACCGGUGGAGAAAUAAUAAAGUCCGGCGAGGUAUACAUAUGAAGUUUGACAAUCACUUGUAAUAUGUGAAAAAUAUUGGAGAUAGCUCUAUAUUGUAUACAUAUACAUUCAUUUGAUGAAUGUUUCUCCCACUUAGACCUCCACAUCGAGAAAAGCUACGAAACGAGGCCCGACUAAAAAGUUGGAUGCACGGACACAUUACACCUUUGAGGUGAUAUUGCCUACGGGCGAACCCAAGCUUCCUAAGAAUGAUGCUGACACAUUCAAGAAGCAAUGCGGAGUUCUCGUUAGGGAUCACGUCCCGAUCAGCGUUCGGGAGUGGAACAAGCGCAAAGGGGCAGCCGAUAGUGACUAUGUCGCCGAAAGGUACAAAGAUAAUCUUUGGAAUGAUCUCAUGUCACAUUUCAACCUGCCAGAAUGUGAGAAUGAAGACGUGGCAGACAAACUGAGGGCCAAAGUCAAGCAGUGGACUCUGAAGAAGAUGGCCGAACUGUUCCGUAGCUGGAAGAAGAAGCUAUGGAAAAACUAUCNNNNNNNNNNNNNNNNNNNNNNNNNNNNNNNNNNNNNNNNNNNNNNNNNNNNNNNNNNNNNNNNNNNNNNNNNNNNNNNNNNNNNNNNNNNNNNNNNNNNCGACCCAGAAGAAAACAGAAAUAAUAGAUAGGAAUAUUGGUGCAAUAAUGUAAUAAUGUAUUAAACCUUUUAUGUAAUGCAUGUAUGGAAUGUACUAAACCUUUUAGUUUUGAAUUAUUUAUUCAAUUUCAAACAAUUUUCAUUUUCAUAGUUUUGUCAAAUUCUCAAAUAUGCAAAAAGAAUUUUAAUAAACCUUUGUAAGAGAUGAGUUCUCGUUUGAAAUCGUGAUACUUUGAGAGAGAUUGUCCGUUUUGUAAACGAAGUGCAUCCAGUUUUUGUCGUAGCCCUCUCAACUUUUUAACACAUGCUAUGUGGGUAAAAUGAUGAUAGCAUGCCAACUUUCAACAUUUUCAGAGUUCAUUUGUAGUGCUUUUCAAUUUUAGGGUCAACUAGCUCAAAAAAGAUAAGUAAAUGCACGAAAAAUACCAAAUGAAGUCAGAAAUUGUUGAAAUUUUGUGAUGUGCCUUUGAUGGUGCAUUUUGAACACACAAAAAGUAUGGAGUUCAAAUACGUUCAUAAAAAAUGAAAUCCCUUUGUAAGAGAUGAGUUCUCGUUCGAAAUGUUGAUACUUUGAGAGAGAUUGUCUGUUUUGUACACGAAGUGCAUCCAGUUUUUGUCGUAGCCCUCUCAACUUNNNNNNNNNNNNNNNNNNNNNNNNNNNNNNNNNNNNNNNNNNNNNNNNNNNNNNNNNNNNNNNNNNNNNNNNNNNNNNNNNNNNNNNNNNNNNNNNNNNNUGAAGACACAGAAAGUGUCAGUAUUCGAGGGGUAUCCAGCCAAGCAGGUGAAUCACUCGAAGGCAUUUCAAGAGUACAAGGAGUCAGAAGAUGCCCAUGCAUUAUCAUAAAAGAACAAGAUAAAUGCCGACAAGAAGAAAUAUCACCACAAGCUGGGGCCAGGGGGCUAUGAGACUGCCAUCCUAAAGUGGGAUAAGAAAGAGCAAGAUUUGAUAGAUAAAGGCAUCGUACCUGAACCACUCCGUGAUGAGUGGGAAUUGAGAGCAAGAAAUUGGUUCCUUGCGCAUGGUGGGUCGUACGAUGAAACAACAGAGGACCUCAUCUGCAAUGACGAUCUUAGGAUACCCAAGGAGAAUUGGAAAAGGAUAGUGAAAGAAAUUAAGGAGGGACAAAGAAAGUUCACUGCAGAUAGAGAUAGAGAUUUGCUCACACUGGUCCUCGGCAAUGACGAACAUGGAGGACGAACGCGAGGCUUCGGUCCUUCUUACCCGUGGUGGCUUGGGUUUGCCAGAGACCAAGACACCUACAGAAGCCGAGAGAGAGCAAAGAAGCGGCAACAGGAUGAGGAGAAUGACAAGUUCAACCAGUUGCUUGUCAGGAUUAACGAGCAACAUAAACAGAUUGAUGAGCUUAGAGGAGUACCGCGCCAGGAAGAUCCUGCACUUGAUAUUACCGGCGCCCCAUCUAAGCGGAAAAGCAGCGUGGCUGAAUCUGAGGCCCCGCCCGACGAUGAAUGAAGAAUGAUAGAGGGCGGUCCCGGCUACCCCGUGGAUGGAAUCAAGGAGUCAACAUCAUGUGAACUCCAUCAGAAAUUCAAGAACAUAUCCAUGAAGGUGGCCGUCGGACAAGCUUUACCUUCUGGCCCUGAUGCACGCUGGCAUGGCCGUGAGAUUCCAGCUGGCUUUGCUAAAGUCGGGGUGGAUGAAAUCAUGACGGGGUUUAAUGAUAUGGAGCUCGACAUAGCUGGACCCGAAGAUGAGAGGACACUCGGAGAAGUACGGGGUGGAGUCAUCCUAUGGGACAAGAACUACAUCAAGCUUCCAGGCUCGGCCCCAAGGACAACAGCGCCUCUGAGUCGUCGCAGGUCACCUACACCUCCAUCACCUCCAAGCCCUCCACAUGACGACGGCCAGCACAACACGAGUCCAUCUCGAUCACCGCCGCUGGACUUCGGUCGUCCGUCUCCGCCGCCGCCCGCUCCGGAUACUAAGCGGAAGCGUGCCAGCAAGAACGCUCCGUCGAUGAUUUCUAAGCGACGGAGCUCCCCAAAGCGCAAACUAUCGCCCCUCCCAAAGGUACCUCAUGCUAAUCUUCCUAUCAGACCUUAUGAUCGUACCCCCGAGGAAAACGCCAGGAUAGCAAAGAAACAGCAUGAUGCGCAGAUGAAAAGGAAGGAACCCGAGCCUGCCGGGAAUACACCGAGAAGCACAUAGCAUGGGCAAAAGACUUCAUAACCACUCCAUCACAGUAUGACUUACACUAUAAGUCUGAUGACUAUACACGCACAUUGCAGAAGGAAGUGAAAAAGAGCAGCUCACAUGCAAGUGUAAGUGGGAGCAAAUCAAGUUCAACUACAGGCAAGAAAAAAUCAGACGUUCCUCAGCUUGGACAACAGGCCAAACAGUCGAUCCCACCCCUCAAGGUGUUAACCGAGAAUGUUCCCCUCCGGUGCAGGGGCAAGCUUUUGAAAUAGCAAAGGAGUUGGCGAAUGAAUGUGGUAUCUUGGUUGAAGAUUUGCUGGCUUCCCAAGACGACAGGAUACCCAAGGCUGUGGUAGCCCCUAAGCCACAAUUUGUUAUGGGAGAGCCUUUGGUCAGCAAAGAUGAUCUCCCAACAAAUAUGCGUUACUUGCANNNNNNNNNNAAUGGCACUUAAGUGAAUCAAAGAAUGGAAGAACGAUGAUCGUGGUGAGUGUCCCACGGGAGUACUACGGCCGCUCCGAAGAAAUCCAUAUCGACUUUGAUGAACUCUUCCAGAUGUACAAUGGCGACGCCCUCGACAAAUCGCUUAUGAGUUGCUAUUGUGUGUAAGUUUUUUAAUUCGUUGUCUACAUAUAACUUGUUUAGUUAUUUCAAUUCAUUGUCUAUAUAUAACUUGUACUCUAUUAUGCAGAAUGAAGAUUCUGGAGUGUAAAAGUAAGAGCAUCCUAAAUAUUGGGUUUAUUGACCCAGAUAAAAUACAUAUAGCGACGCUAACUGACAAACCCAAGGAGACGGAGGAAAACCUUCUAAGGUUUCUAACAGAUCAAAAUUUCUGUGAUCAAAUACUGUUUCUAUACAACUUCAGGUGAGGGUCUUUACUCUGUUGUGUCCAUUCACUUAUAAGUGUAAUUGAUAAGUUACUGACACACANNNNNNNNNNNNNNNNNNNNNNNNNNNNNNNNNNNNNNNNNNNNNNNNNNNNNNNNNNNNNNNNNNNNNNNNNNNNNNNNNNNNNNNNNNNNNNNNNNNNUCCUCUCCAAACCCUAGUUCAUCUCUUGUAACCAAUCUCUGUCUCGCGACUCCGAUUGGUACUUGUAAAGUUGCUAGUAGUGUUGAUUACUCUUUGUAGUUGAUGCUAGUUGUAUUACUUGGUGGAGGAGUUUAUGUUCAGAUCCUUGAUGCUACUCAUUACACCUCUGAUCAUGAUUAUGAUUAUGCUUUGUGAGUAGUUACUUUUGUUCCUGAGGACAUGGGAUAAGUCAUGCUAAUGAUAGUCAUGUGAAUUUGGUAUUCGUUCGGUAUUUUGAUAUGUUGUAUGUUGUCUUUUCCUCUAGUGGUGUUAUGUGAACGUCGACUACAUAACACUUCACCAUCUUUGGGCCUAGAGGAAGGCAUUGGGGAGUAGUAAGUAGAUGAUGGGUUGCUAGAGUGACAGAAGCUUAAACCCCAGUCUAUGCGUUGCUUCGUAAGGGGCUUAUUUGGAUCCACUAGUUUAAUGCUAUGGUUAGACGUUGUCUUAAUUCUUCUUUCGUAGUUUCGGAUGCUUGAGAGAGGGGUUAAUUAUAAGUGGGAUGCUUGUCCAAGCAAGGGCAGUACCCAAGCGCCGGUCCACCCACAUAUCGAAUUAUCAAAGUAACGAACGCGAAUCAUAUGAACAUGAUGAAACUAGCAUGACAGAAAUUUCCGUGUGUCCUCGGGAGCGUUUUUCCUCUUAUAAGACUUUGUUCAGGCUUGUCCCUUGCUACAAAAGGGUUUGGGCCACUUUGCUGCACCCUUGCUAAUCUUGUUACUUGUUAGUUUUCACCUGCUACAUUUCACCUCACUACACCAUCACUUGUUACCGCUACUUUCAGUGCUUGCAGUUAUUACCUUGCUGAAAACCGUUUAUCAGAGCCUUCCGCUCCUCGUUGGGUUCGCCACUCUUACUUAUCGAAAGGACUACGAUUGGUCCCCUAUACUUGUGGGUCAUCAAGGUGCUCUACAGGUAUCUGCAAAGGUGUCCGUUGGGUUGGCAUGGAUCAAGACUGGGAUUUGUCACUCUGUGUGAUGGAGAGGUAUCUAGGGGCUCACUCGGUAAUACAACAUCACAACAAGCCUUGAAAGCAAUUUGACUAAGGAGUUGUUGGAAAUAUGCCCUAGAGGCAAUGAUGAAUAGUUAUUAUUAUAUUUCCUGUUACAAGAUAAUCAUUUAUUAUCCAUGAUAUAAUUUUAUUGAAUGAAAACAUAGAUACAUGUGUGGAUACAUAGACAAAACAAUGUCCCUAGCAAGCCUCUAGUUGGUUGGCGAGUUGAUCAAUGAUAGUCAAGGUUUUCUGAUUAUAUGCAAGUGUUGUCACUUGAUAACUGAAUCAUGUGAUGGACUAGACCCAAACUAUGAACGUAGCAUAUUGAUCGUGUCAUUUUAUUGCUAUUGUUUUCUGCGUGUCAAGUAUUUAUUCCUAUGACCAUGAGAUCAUAUAACUCACUGGCACCGGAGGAAUACCUUGUGUGUAUCAAACGUCGCAACGUAACUCGGCGACUAUAAAGGUGCUCUACAGGUAUCUCCGAAGGUGUCCGUUGAGUUAGUAUGGAUCAAGACUGGGAUUUGUCACUCCAUGUGAUGGAGAGGUAUCUCGGGGCCCACUCGGUAAUACAACAUCACACACAAGCCUUGCAAGCAAUGUGACUAAGUGUAAGUCACGUGAUCUUGUAUUACAGAACGAGUAAAUAGACUUGCCGGUAACGAGAUUGAAAUAGGUAUGCGGAUACCGACGAUCAAAUCUCGGGCAAGUAACAUACCGAAGGACAAAGGGAAUGACAUGCGGGAUUAUAUGAAUCCUUGACACUGAGGUUCAACCGAUAAUAUCUUCGGAGAAUAUGUAGGAUCCAAUAUGGGCAUCCAGGUCCCACUAUUGGAUAUUGACCGAGGAGUGCCUCGGGGCAUGUCUACAUAGUUCUCGAACCCGCAGGGUCUGCACACUUAAGGUUCGGCGAUGUUUUAGUAUAGUUGAGUUAUAUGUGUGUUUACCGAAUGUUGUUUGGAGUCCCGGAUGAGAUCACGGACGUCACGAGGCUUUCCGGAAUGGUUCGGAAACGAAGAUUGAUAUAUAGGAUGGUUUCAUUUGGUCACCGGAAAGUUUUGGGCAAUUUCGACAGUGUACUGGGAGCGACGAAUGGGUUCUGGGAGUUCACCGGGAGGGGCCCACCCACCCGGGAGUGAGCCCAAGGCACUAGGGUGGCGCCACAGGUCCUUAGUGGGCUGGUGGAGUCAGCCCAAGGGACCCAUGGCACCACAUAAGAAAACACCAAAGGAAAAUAAAAGAAAAAGGGAAAGAGGGAGGUGGGAAGGAAGGGGAGGACUCCUCCUUCCCAAACCGAAUUGGAGGAGGAGUCCUCCUCCUCCCUUGGCCGGCGCACCCUUGAAGCCUUGUGCCUCAAGGCUAGCCCUCCCCCACCCUCCUAUAUAUAGUGGUGUUUUAGGGCUGAUUUGAGACAACUUUUGCCACGUGCAACUCAACCCUAGACCACAUAGUUCUACCUCUAGAUCGGAUUUCUGCGGAGCUCGGGCGGAACCCUGCAGGAGUAGAUCAUCACCAGCACCGGAGCGCCAUCACGUUGCCGAAGAACUCAUCUACUUCUUCGUCUUGCUUGCUGGAUCAAGAAGGCUGAGAUCGUCAUCGAGUUGUACGUGUGCUGAACGCGGAGGUGACGUCCGUUCGGCACUAGAUCGGGACGGUUCGUGGACGGAUCGCGGGAUGGUUCGUGGGACGGUUCAAGGGACGUGAAGACGUUCCAUUACAUCAACCGCGUUUCUUAACGCUUCCUACCGUGCGAUCUACAAGGGUACGUAGAUCCAAAUCUCCACUCGUAGAUGGACAUCACCAUGGUAGGUCUUCGUGUGCGUAGGAAAUUUUUUGUUUCCCAUGCAACGUUCCCCAACAAUAUGGAUAUAUAUGAAACUUUGUAUGCAUGGAUGAAACUAGUGUAAUAUAUGGUUUGGUACGUGAUACGUCUCCAUCGUAUCUACUUUUCCAAACUCUUUUUCCCUUGUUUUGGACUCUAAUUUGCAGGAUUUUAAUGGAACUAACCUGGACUGACGCUGUUUUCAGCAGAAUUGCCUUGGUGUUAUUUUUCUGCAGAAAUCAAAGUUCUCCAAACGUCCUGAAAAUUUACGGGGAGCAUUUUUGGAAAAUAUGAAAAAUAUUUGUGCCAAGUUCCACCUAAGGGGGUGGGCCAGUGGGCCACAAGCCCUGGCUCCGCCACCACCGCGUGGUGGCGGUGGGCAGGCGUGUGGGGGCCCACACGGCUCUGCCGCCCCCAAUUCCAGCUCUAUAAGUUCACUUUCGUCCCAGAAAAAAUAAAAAAAGAGAAGUUUUCGUCGCGUUUGCGAUACGGAGGCGUCGCCACCACCUGUUCUUCAUCUGGAGGGCGGAUCUGGAGUCCGUCUUGGGCUCCGGAGAGGGGAAAUCGUCGCCAUCGUCAUCAUCAACCUUCUUCCCUCUCCAAUUACAUGAACCUCUUCAUCGUUCGUGCGUAAUCUAUUCGUAGGCUCGCUGGGCGGUGAUGAGUAGGAUGAGAUCUAUCAUGUAAUCGACUUAGUUUUGAUGGGGAUUGAUCCCUAGUAUCCACUAUGUUCCGAGAUUNNNNNNNNNNAUUCUGGUUAUGAGUUAGACAUAGUUGCAACAACAAGAUCAAACAGAGUUUGUCAAAGUUUUUCUUUCUCUCUCAGUUUGUCAACUGAGUUGCUUGAGGACAAGCAAGGUUUUAAGCUUGGGGAGUUGAUACGUCUCCAUCGUAUCUACUUUUCCAAACUCUUUUGCCCUUGUUCUCGACUCUAAUUUGUAUGAUUUGAAUGGAACUAACCUGGACUGACGUUGUUUUCAGCACAAUUGCCUUGGUGUUAUUUUUGUGCAGAAAUCAAAGUUCUCCAAACUUCCUGAAAAUUUACGGGGAGCAUUUUUGGAAAAUAUGGAAAAUAUCUGCGCCAAGUUCCACGUGAGGAGGUGGGCCAGUGGGCCACAAGCCCUGGCUCCGCCACCACCCCCCUGGUGGCGGUGGGCAGGCUUGUGGGGCCCACACGGCUCUACCGCCCCCAAUUCCAGCUCUAUAAGUUCAUUUUCGUCCCAGAAAAAAUAAAAAAAGAGAAGUUUUCGUCGCGUUUGCGAUACGGAGGCGUCGCCACCACCUGUUCUUCAUCUGGAGGGCGGAUCUGGAGUCCGUCUUGGGCUCCGGAGAGGGGAAAUCGUCGCCAUCGUCAUCAUCAACCUUCUUCCCUCUCCAAUUCUAUGAAGCUCUUCAUCGUUCGUGAGUAAUCUAUUCGUAGGCUCGCUGGGCGUUGAUGAGUAGGAUGAGAUCUAUCAAUCGAGUUAGUUUUGAUGGGGAUUGAUCCCUAGUAUCCACUAUGUUCCGAGAUUGAUGUUGCUACUACUUUGCCAUGCUUAAUGCUUGUCACUAGGGCCCGAGUGCCAUGAUUUCAGAUCUGAAAUUAUUAUGUUGUCACCAAUAUAUGUGUGUUUUAGAUCCGAUCUUGCAAGUUGUAGUUAGCUACUAUGUGUUAUGAUCCGGCAACCCCGGAGUGACAAUAACCGGAACCACUCCCGGUGAUGACCAUAGUUUGAGGAGUUCAUGUGUUCACCAAGUGCUAAUGCGUUGGUCCGGUUCUUUAUUAAAAGGAGAACCUUAAUAUCCCGUAGUUUCCUGUUGGACCCCACUGCCACGGGACGGAUGGACAAUAGAUGUCAUGCAAGUUCUUUUCCCUAAGCACGUAUGACGACACACGGAAUGCAUGCCUACAUCACAUUGACGAACGGGAGCUAGCCACAUAUCUCUCCGUGUUAUAACUGUUGCAUGAUGAAUAUCAUCCAAACAAAUCACCGACCCAUUGCCUACGAGUUUGUCAUACUGCUGCUGUUACUACUAUUGCUACUGUUGUUACUUGUCUUGGUAUGCUACUACUGUCGCUUGCUGUUGUUUCUACUUGCUACUGCUGUCACUACUGCUUUUCCUUGCCGCUGCUAUUGCNNNNNNNNNNUGAGUUUGUCCUACUGCUGCUGUUACUACUAUUGCUACUGUUGUUACUUGUCUUGCUUUGCUGCUACUGUUGCUACUACUGUCGCUUGCUGUUGUUGCUACUUGCUACUGCUGUCACUACUGCUUUUCCUUGCCGCUGCUAUUGCUCGUUACACUGCUGCUACCUGCUACAAUUUUGGUUCACUGGUCGUUGACGGGAACUGACAACUCCCUUCAACGAGGCAACUUGGCGCCAUUGAUACAAUCGUUAGAAAUAGUCUGCCGUGUCAACAGAUCGUUUCUGACACCGUUGUUAUCAUACUACUUUGUUGUUACUACUUUGCUUGCAGAUACUAAUCUUUCAGGCGUGGUUGAAUCUGACAUAUUCAGCUGCUAAUACUUGAGAGUAUCCUCUCACCUCCUAUAGGCGUACCAACAAAUUUGGGUUGAAUACUCUACCCUCGAAAACUGCUACGAUCCCAUGCGCUGGUGGGCCAUCAACAACAUUCUUCUAGUUUCGAUUGCCGGAGAGUGCUAGCAACAUUCUUCUCGUGCUGUUGCAAGGGGAAGAACAGUUGACAUCAGUACGGAUGCAACUUGCAUAAUAUGUAUGUAUUAUGGAUGAAAUUUAUUUUAAUAUGGUUAUGAGUACGGAAACAAAAUUAUUUCUAUCAAAUAUAUAUAUAUAUAUAUAUAUAUAUCCUGAUUAUUGUGAAAAUUAUUCCUGAUUUGUGUGAAAAUUGAUGGAUAUUAUAGAAAAUAAAAUAAACAAGGGAUGUUUUGAGCCUUUGCCGUCCGCCCACCGACGGCAAAGGGCAUGCAGCAGACGGCAAAGGCUCAAACAUGACUGGGCUGAAACACGCUGGGGUGCCCCCUUUGCCAUCGGCCUCAGACAUGGCUGACGGCAAAGGGGGAGGGCAAACGACAAAGGUGGAGGGAGAGACGGGUUGGGUGCCCCCCUUUGCCGUCGGCCUCAAACAUGGCUGAUGACAAAGGAGGGAGGGCACACAUCAAAGGGGGUCUAGGGAAGACGACAAAGGGGGGGGUGGGCCCAGCAGGCUGCCGUUAGCACUUAACGGGAGCGCUUGCGGAUCUGUCGUCCCAUUUUGUUUGCCGUCAGCCCCCCAUGGCAAAGAUUUUUUGUCGUCCGCCUUCCAAAGGCAGCAAAGAACCUCUUCACCGGAUAAAUCUUUGUCGUCUAGUUUGCCGUCCGCUGACGGACGACAAAGGCUUUGCCGUCCGGCGUGCCCCUCUUUGCCGUAUGCCAUGGCGGACGGCAAAGUUUCUGAUCCCUGUAGUNNNNNNNNNNNNNNNNNNNNNNNNNNNNNNNNNNNNNNNNNNNNNNNNNNNNNNNNNNNNNNNNNNNNNNNNNNNNNNNNNNNNNNNNNNNNNNNNNNNNGCGGAGCGCCCGCUCGUGCCCGGUCCACCCCUUAUCUGCCCUAGGUUUUGACUGGAUAUGAUGGGCACCGGAGAGCCCCGAGUCUUUGAGGCUUGUGGAGGAGAAGUUGGACCCCUUUAUAAGGGUCUCUCUUCCACAUGCUAUUGGAGAGUGAGAAGAGAAGGUGCCCUCGCGCACUCCUCCUCCGCCGCCCGCCUCGCCACGCCACGCCUCGUCACGACGCGCCGCGGGUUGCGGGAAUGAGCCGAGCCGAGCUCAUACCUACGCGCUUAUUUUUGCCGGUCANNNNNNNNNNNNNNNNNNNNNNNNNNNNNNNNNNNNNNNNNNNNNNNNNNNNNNNNNNNNNNNNNNNNNNNNNNNNNNNNNNNNNNNNNNNNNNNNNNNNNNNNNNNNNNNNNNNNNNNNNNNNNNNNNNNNNNNUACGUAACGGACAAGGCACGAUCCGAGACGUCGGAUCAUGGUUGUUACCGACUCGGACGUGGGUUUGGCCCACGUCUCUCCACCCAGCCGCCUUUAUAAGCAGGCUAUCGCCUACCCUAGCCGUCACGAGAAUCAGAUCACAUCUGCCUCACGCGUUCGUUCCUUGAUUGCUGCUGCCGCCGGCGACUCCGUCCCGUUUACCGCGUACACGGUCGACGGGAGAGCAGGCCUCCGAAACCUCGCCUCUCCGGUUCCUGUAGGGAGAGGGGCGAUUAGGUUUUUGGGGAGCGAUCACGCGACUGCUCGCCUCCGUCNNNNNNNNNNNNNNNNNNNNNNNNNNNNNNNNNNNNNNNNNNNNNNNNNNNNNNNNNNNNNNNNNNNNNNNNNNNNNNNNNNNNNNNNNNNNNNNNNNNNCCCGGGACUAAAGGGUGGUCUUUAGUCCCGGCUCGAGCCCCGACCCGGGACUAAAGGCUUGGGCUGGCGGCAUUCCAAAGUUUAGUCCCACCUCGCUUGUCGAGAGGAGCCGCCACUGGUUUAUAAGCCCCGUUGUCCCAACCGUGUCGAGCUCCUCUUUAAAGCAGGCUUACAGGCCUAAACAGAUUGUAAAUUUAAAAAUUGAAAAUAUAUUUGAAAUUAUGGACAAAAUUCAACCUGAAUUCAAAGUGAGGUCACUUCGAAUUUAGGUUGAAUUUUCUCUAUAAAUUCUCAUAUAGUUUAAUUUUUUUCCCAUUAUUUUUGUUUUGUUCUUUGCUUUAUUUAUUUUCUUUUUUAUAAGCUAUUAACUACUUUGUUAUUUUCAAUUAAAAACUAUGUUUAUUAAAAUUCUUUUUGCAUAUUUGAGAAUUUGACAAAACUAUAAAAAUGAAAAGUGUUUGAAAUUGAAUAAAUAAUUCAAAACUAUUUUCUAUUUUCAAAAUUAAUUAUUUUGACUAUCCAAACUAUUAACUAUUUUGUUAUUUUCAAUUAAAAAUAUGUUUAUUAAAAUUCUUUUUGCAUAUUUGAGAAUUUGACAAAACUAUAAAAAUGAAAAGUGUUUGAAAUUGAAUAAAUAAUUCAAAACUAUUUUCUAUUUUCAAAAUUAAUUAUUUUGACUAUCCAAACAAUUAACUAUUUUGUUAUUUUCAAGUAAAAACUAUGUUUAUUAAAAUUCUUUUUGCAAAUUUGAGAAUUUGACAAAAUUAUGAAAAUGAAAAGUGUUUGAAAUUGAAUAAAUAAUUCAAAACUAUUNNNNNNNNNNNNNNNNNNNNNNNNNNNNNNNNNNNNNNNNNNNNNNNNNNNNNNNNNNNNNNNNNNNNNNNNNNNNNNNNNNNNNNNNNNNNNNNNNNNNAAGUUGAGAGGGCUACGACAAAAACUGGAUGCACUUCGUGUACAAAACGGACAAUCUCUCUCGAAGUAUCAACGUUUUGAACGAGAACUCAUCUCUCACGAAGGGAUUUCAUUUUUUUGAACUUAUUUGAACUCCAUAAUUUUUGUGUAUUCAAAAUGCACCAUUCAAAGGCACAUCACAAAAUUUCAACAAUUUCUGACUUCAUUUGGUAUUUUUCAUGCAUUUACUUAUUUUUUUUGAGCUAGUUGACCCUAAAAUUGAAAAGCACUACAAAUGAACUNNNNNNNNNNNNNNNNNNNNNNNNNNNNNNNNNNNNNNNNNNNNNNNNNNNNNNNNNNNNNNNNNNNNNNNNNNNNNNNNNNNNNNNNNNNNNNNNNNNNNNNNNNNNNNNNNNNNNNNNNNNNNNNNNNNNNNNNNNNNNNNNNNNNNNNNNNNNNNNNNNNNNNNNNNNNNNNNGAAGAGGGUUACGACAAAAACUGGAUGCACUUCGUGUACAAAACAGACAAUCUCUCUCGAAGUAUGAGGGUUUCGAACGAGAACUCAUCUAUUGCAAAGGGAUUUCAUUUUUUGAACUUAUUUGAACUCCAUACUUUUUGUGUGUUUAAAAUGCACCAUUCAAAGGCACAUCACAAAUUUUCAACAAUUUCUGACUUAAUUUGGUAUAUUUCAUGCAUUUACUUUUGUUUUUUUGGGCUAGUUGACCCUAAAAUUGAAAAGCACUACAAAUGAACUCUGAAAAUNNNNNNNNNNNNNNNNNNNNNNNNNNNNNNNNNNNNNNNNNNNNNNNNNNNNNNNNNNNNNNNNNNNNNNNNNNNNNNNNNNNNNNNNNNNNNNNNNNNNUAGCCCGUGCGCAGCUCCGUCAGGACAGCGCGACCGCAACGCCCCUGUCGGUCGCUCCUUCAUGCGGGCAGCGGUGGGUGGUAGUGUCUGGAUGUUGUCCCUCACACGUAUUCCGGAAUCAGUGGGCAAGGGGGAGGGACGCGGUGGAGUAGUAUGUGCACCGCAACGACGGGAUGCAGGUGGAACCCGACAAGGACUAGCGGCUGCUCGCAUGAGUCUACCGUCGGUCUCUCACGAGGCAGAGGUGGACACUUGCCGUCUAUGAUGGAAGAAUGUCAAGGCGCUGCGACUUACUAUUGAGCAGUCAAAGCGCGAGACGAAGGUGUUGAGUAAAUAGGCAAUUUUCCGAGUAGAUUAAUCCAUGAAAUAAUUACUAACAUGGCAUNNNNNNNNNNNNNNNNNNNNNNNNNNNNNNNNNNNNNNNNNNNNNNNNNNNNNNNNNNNNNNNNNNNNNNNNNNNNNNNNNNNNNNNNNNNNNNNNNNNNNNNNNNNNNNNNNNNNNNNNNNNNNNNNNNNNNNNNNNNNNNNNNNCCGGCGGCGGCAGUAUCCUCUACCGCCUUCUUCUCGGCUUCGGCCUUCUCGCGGAGACGNNNNNNNNNNAACAGGAGAGAGACAAACACAUCAUACCCUCCGAUCGGCCAGUUGGCCGUAGCAGCAGCGGCGGCGGCGGAAGUAUCCUCUACCGCCUUCUUCUCGGCUUCGGCCUUCUCGCGGAGACGGUCAGCUUCGCUUGGUGAAGACUUGNNNNNNNNNNNNNNNNNNNNNNNNNNNNNNNNNNNNNNNNNNNNNNNNNNNNNNNNNNNNNNNNNNNNNNNNNNNNNNNNNNNNNNNNNNNNNNNNNNNNUAUUGGCAGCAGAAGAGCUUUCCACCGCUUUUCCAUUGGAGUCCUUUGUUCUCGAGUUCUGCUCAACACUCAGAUGGCCGAUGAUGUCCUCUACUGAGAACGCACGCCUCUGAUGUUUCAGAGUAGUAGCAAAGUUCCUCCAGGAAUUAGGGAGCUUAGCAAUUAUACAGCCCGCGACAAACUUGCCCGGCAAAUUGCACUUAAGAACCUCAAGUUCCUUAGCUAUGCAUAUUAUCUCAUGAGCUUGUUCCAAUACAGAACGGUUGUCAACCAUCUUGUAAUCGUGGAACUGCUCCAUAACAUACAUCUCACUCCCUCCAUCGGUGGCCCCGAAUUUAGAUUCGAGCGCCUCCCACAAGUCCUUGGCAACAAGCAUAUGUAAAUAUGCAUCAACCAGCUUAUCUCCGAUCACGCUAAUGANNNNNNNNNNAGCAUCGGUGGCCCCAAAUUUAGAUUCGAGCGCCUCCCACAAUUCCUUGGCAACAUGCAUAUGUAAAUAUGCAUCAACCAGCUUAUCUCCGAUCACGCUAAUGACUGCUCCAAGGAAUAGGACGGUGGCCUCCUUAAACAUCUUCUCUUGUUCAGGAGUGAUAGUUUCCGUAGGAGUGACACCGGCUACCCAGAACACGUUCAUAGCUGUGAGCCAUAAGGUGGUUCUCGUUUGCCAACGCUUGAAAAAAGUACCGAUAAACUUAUCCGGUUUCAGUGCAGCAGCAAAACCAUUACUCGAAAAAUUCCUAUAGACAUUAGGUUUUUGGAUUGUUGAGUAAAUAGGCAAUUUUACGAGUAGAUUAAUCCAUGAAAUAAUUACUAACAUGGCAUUGACUAGGUNNNNNNNNNNCGGACAUUAGGUUUUUGGAUUGUUGAGUAAAUAUGCAAUUUUCCGAGUAGAUUAAUCCAUGAAAUAAUUACUAACAUGGCAUUGACUAGGUUCAUGACAUACUGAUCAUGGAGUAUACUAGCAAGUACUACACAUAUAGCAGAAACAUCUACGCAUAUAGGCAAUACUACUAGUGCAGAUAGAGACAGGAGAGAGACAAACACAUCAUACCCUCCGAUCGGCCAGUUGGCUGUAGCAGCAGCGGCGGCGGCGGCAGUAUCCUCUGCCGCCUUCUUCUCUGCUUCGGCCUUCUCGCGGAGACGGUCAGCUUCGCUUGGUGAAGACAUGGCGAUGAUGAGGGCGACGCGGACGUAGACGAAGCAGACGGACGGAGGCGAGCAGUCGCGUGAUCGCUCCCCAAAAACCUAAUCGCCCUCUCCCGUACAGGAACCGGAGAGGCGAGGUUUCGGAGGCCUUUUCUCCCGUCGACCGUGUACGCGGUCAACGGGACGGAGUCGCCGGCGGCAGCAGCAGUCAAGGAACGAACACAGAAGGGAGCCACUAACGAGAUUCUUCUUGAUGGCGGGGACAUGCUGCACGUUCUUCAGCUGCACGAUCCAUCCUGAAGUAAACUUCAGAUCGACCGUGCCAACACCAAGAACAGAAGCACUCGCGCCAUUCCCCAUCAAUACGGACCCGCGACCGGUGGCCUGAUAAGAAGAGAACAAUGAUAAGUCAGCACACACAUGAAUAUUUGCACCCGUGUCCACCCACCAAUCGGUGGACUGACAAACUGUAAAUACAGUAAGUAAAUUACCGUAGCCAGAUGCACCACUUUCAUUGUUGCCCACAAUCAUAUUGGCAGACUUGGAGUCCUGCGCCGGCUUCUUGUACUUGUUUGGGCAUUUGUUCGCCCAAUGUUCCUCUGAACCACAAGUAUAGCAGCCAUCUCCCUUCAUAUUCUUCUUGAAGGGCUUCUUUCCCUUCUUUUUGAAUUCGGUAUUCUGUUGGACAGAAUUCUUUCCCUUGGGCUUGUGAGAAUUGNNNNNNNNNNUUGAACCACAAGUAUAGCAACCAUCUCCCUUCUUAUUCUUCUUGAAGGGCUUCUUUCCCUUCUUCUUGAAGUCGGUAUUCUGUUGGACAGAAUUCUUUCCCUUGGGCUUGUGAGAAUUGAAGUUCCUCUGAUGUACCAUAUUGGCAGCAGAAGAGCUUUCCACCGCUUUUCCAUUGGAGUCCUUUGCUCUUGAGUUCUACUCAACACUCAGAUGGCCGAUGAUGUCCUCUACUAAGAACUCACGCCUCUGAUGUUUCAGAGUAGUAGCAAAGUUCCUCCAGGAAUUAGNNNNNNNNNNNNNNNNNNNNNNNNNNNNNNNNNNNNNNNNNNNNNNNNNNNNNNNNNNNNNNNNNNNNNNNNNNNNNNNNNNNNNNNNNNNNNNNNNNNNACAUGAACCUCUUCAUCGUUCGUGCGUAAUCUAUUCGUAGGCUCGCUGGGCGGUGAUGAGUAGGAUGAGAUCUAUCAUGUAAUCGACUUAGUUUUGAUGGGGAUUGAUCCCUAGUAUCCACUAUGUUCCGAGAUUGAUGUUGCUACUACUUUGCCAUGCUUAAUGCUUGUCACUAGGGCCCGAGUGCCAUGAUUUCAGAUCUGAAAUUAUUAUGUUGUCACCAAUAUAUGUGUGUUUUAGAUCCGAUCUUGCAAGUUGUAGUUAGCUACUAUGUGUUAUGAUCCGGCAACCCCGGAGUGACAAUAACCGGAACCACUCCCGGUGAUGACCAUAGUUUGAGGAGUUCAUGUGUUCACCAAGUGCUAAUGCGUUGGUCCGGUUCUUUAUUAAAAGGAGAACCUUAAUAUCCCGUAGUUUCCUGUUGGACCCCACUGCCACGGGACGGAUGGACAAUAGAUGUCAUGCAAGUUCUUUUCCCUAAGCACGUAUGACGACACACGGAAUGCAUGCCUACAUCACAUUGACGAACGGGAGCUAGCCACAUAUCUCUCCGUGUUAUAACUGUUGCAUGAUGAAUAUCAUCCAAACAAAUCACCGACCCAUUGCCUAUGAGUUUGUCCUACUGCUGCUGUUACUACUAUUGCUACUGUUGUUACUUGUCUUGCUUUGCUGCUACUGUUGCUACUACUGUCGCUUGCUGUUGUUGCUACUUGCUACUGCUGUCACUACUGCUUUUCCUUGCCGCUGCUAUUGCNNNNNNNNNNUGUCAUACUGCUGCUGUUACUACUAUUGCUACUGUUGUUACUUGUCUUGGUAUGCUACUACUGUCGCUUGCUGUUGUUUCUACUUGCUACUGCUGUCACUACUGCUUUUCCUUGCCGCUGCUAUUGCUCGUUACACUGCUGCUACCUGCUACAAUUUUGGUUCACUGGUCGUUGACGGGAACUGACAACUCCCUUCAACGAGGCAACUUGGCGCCACUGGUACAAUCGUUAGAAAUAGUUUGUCGUGUCAAUAGAUCAUUUCUGACACCGUUGUUAUCAUACUACUUUGUUGUUACUACUUUACUUGCAGAUAUUAAUCUUUCAGGUGUGGUUGAAUCUGACAUAUUCAGCUGCUAAUACUUGAGAGUAUCCUCUNNNNNNNNNNNNNNNNNNNNNNNNNNNNNNNNNNNNNNNNNNNNNNNNNNNNNNNNNNNNNNNNNNNNNNNNNNNNNNNNNNNNNNNNNNNNNNNNNNNNAUAAGUAAAUGCACGAAAAAUACCAAAUGAAGUCAGAAAUUGUUGAAAUUUUAUGAUGUGCCUUUGAAUGGUGCAUUUUGAACACACAAAAAGUAUGGAGUUUAAAUAAGUUCAAAAAAAUGAAAUCCCUUUGUAAGAGAUGAGUUCUCGUUCGAAAUGUUGAUACUUUGAGAGAGAUUGUCUGUUUUGUACACGAAGUGCAUCCAGUUUUUGUCGUAGCCCUCUCAACUUUUUAACACAUGCUAUGUGGGUAAAAUGAUGAUAGCAUGCCAACUUUCAACAUUUUCAGAGUUCAUUUGUAGUGCUUUUCAAUUUUAGGGUCAACUAGCCCAAAAAAACAAAAGUAAAUGCAUGAAAUAUACCAAAUUAAGUCAGAAAUUGUUGAAAAUUUGUGAUGUGCCUUUGAAUGGUGCAUUUUAAACACACAAAAAGUAUGGAGUUCAAAUAAGUUCAAAAAAUGAAAUCCCUUUGCAAUAGAUGAGUUCUCGUUCGAAACCCUCAUACUUCGAGAGAGAUUGUCUGUUUUGUACACGAAGUGCAUCCAGUUUUUGUCGUAACCCUCUUCACUUUUUAGCACAUGCUAUGUGGGUGAAAUGAUGAUACCAUGCCAACUUUCAACAUUUUCAGAGUUCAUUUGUAGUGCUUUUCAAUUUUAGGGUCAACUAGCUCAAAAAAAAUAAGUAAAUGCAUGAAAAAUACCAAAUGAAGUCAGAAAUUGUUGAAAUUUUGUGAUGUGCCUUUGAUGGUGCAUUUUGAACACACAAAAAGUAUGGAGUUCAAAUACGUUCAUAAAAGAUGAAAUCCCUUUGUAAGAGAUGAGUUCUCGUUCGAAACCCUCAUACAUCGUUUAAUUGAAAAUAACAAAAUAGUUAAUAAUUUGGAUAGUCAAAAUAAUUAAUUUUGAAAAUAGAAAAUAGUUUUGAANNNNNNNNNNAUGGUGCAUUUUGAAUACACAAAAAUUAUGGAGUUCAAAUAAGUUCAAAAAAAUGAAAUCCCUUCGUGAGAGAUGAGUUCUCGUUCAAAACGUUGAUACUUCGAGAGAGAUUGUCCGUUUUGUACACGAAGUGCAUCCAGUUUUUGUCGUAGCCCUCUCAACUUNNNNNNNNNNNNNNNNNNNNNNNNNNNNNNNNNNNNNNNNNNNNNNNNNNNNNNNNNNNNNNNNNNNNNNNNNNNNNNNNNNNNNNNNNNNNNNNNNNNNUCUCCUCCUCACCGGCACGACGGCGGCGGUGGCGUCCCCGCCGGCGGGCGCCGGCGGCUCGUCCUUCGGGUUCGGCAUGGGGAGGAGGGGGCGGGGGGCUUAACGGAGCAGGAGGGGAGGGGGUCGACCGGCGGGGACAAGGGCGCGCGAGGAGGUCCGGCGCCAGCGAGGAGGACGGCAGGGCGACGGCGAGGAGGACAGCAGGGCAAUGGCGACGGCGGGCAGCCUCGCGGCGUCGAGCAGUUCGUCCGGUGCCGCGCCGGGCAGGAGAGGCGAGCGAGAGGAAGAAGAGAACGAAAAGGCGUUUGGAUUUGGAUUUUCGUCGGGGCCGUAUAUAUAGUAGGAUCUUUAGUCCCGGUUCGGGGCUCGAACCGGGACUAAAGGCACGACCCGAGACUAAAGACCCUUUUUCGGCAGACCAAAAGGCGGGAAGCACGGGCCUUUCGUCCCGGGUCGUGGCUCCACCCGGGACUAAAGGGUGGUCUUUAGUCCCGGCUCGAGCCCCGACCCGGGACUAAAGGCUUGGGCUGGCGGCAUUCCAAAGUUUAGUCCCACCUCGCUUGUCGAGAGGAGCCGCCACUGGUUUAUAAGCCCCGUUGUCCCAACCGUGUCGAGCUCCUCUUUAAAGCAGGCUUACAGGCCUAAACAGAUUGUAAAUUUAAAAAUUGAAAAUAUAUUUGAAAUUAUGGACAAAAUUCAACCUGAAUUCAAAGUGAGGUCACUUCGAAUUUAGGUUGAAUUUUCUCUAUAAAUUCUCAUAUAGUUUAAUUUUUUUCCCAUUAUUUUUGUUUUGUUCUUUGCUUUAUUUAUUUUCUUUUUUAUAAGCUAUUAACUACUUUGUUAUUUUCAAUUAAAAACUAUGUUUAUUAAAAUUCUUUUUGCAUNNNNNNNNNNNNNNNNNNNNNNNNNNNNNNNNNNNNNNNNNNNNNNNNNNNNNNNNNNNNNNNNNNNNNNNNNNNNNNNNNNNNNNNNNNNNNNNNNNNNAGUCAGCACACACAUGAAUAUUUGCACCCGUGUCCACCCACCAAUCGGUGGACUGACAAACUGUAAAUACAGUAAGUAAAUUACCGUAGCCAGAUGCACCACUUUCAUUGUUGCCCACAAUCAUAUUGGCAGACUUGGAGUCCUGCGCCGGCUUCUUGUACUUGUUUGGGCAUUUGUUCGCCCAAUGUUCCUUUGAACCACAAGUAUAGCAACCAUCUCCCUUCUUAUUCUUCUUGAAGGGCUUCUUUCCCUUCUUCUUGAAGUCGGUAUUCUGUUGGACAGAAUUCUUUCCCUUGGGCUUGUGAGAAUUGNNNNNNNNNNCUGAACCACAAGUAUAGCAGCCAUCUCCCUUCAUAUUCUUCUUGAAGGGCUUCUUUCCCUUCUUUUUGAAUUCGGUAUUCUGUUGGACAGAAUUCUUUCCCUUGGGCUUGUGAGAAUUGAAGUUCCUCUGAUGUACCAUAUUGGCAGCAGAAGAGCUUUCCACCGCUUUUCCAUUGGAGUCCUUUGCUCUUGAGUUCUACUCAACACUCAGAUGGCCGAUGAUGUCCUCUACUAAGAACUCACGCCUCUGAUGUUUCAGAGUAGUAGCAAAGUUCCUCCAGGAAUUAGNNNNNNNNNNUUCUCGAGUUCUGCUCAACACUCAGAUGGCCGAUGAUGUCCUCUACUGAGAACGCACGCCUCUGAUGUUUCAGAGUAGUAGCAAAGUUCCUCCAGGAAUUAGGGAGCUUAGCAAUUAUACAGCCCGCGACAAACUUGCCCGGCAAAUUGCACUUAAGAACCUCAAGUUCCUUAGCUAUGCAUAUUAUCUCAUGAGCUUGUUCCAAUACAGAACGGUUGUCAACCAUCUUGUAAUCGUGGAACUGCUCCAUAACAUACAUCUCACUCCCUCCAUCGGUGGCCCCGAAUUUAGAUUCGAGCGCCUCCCACAAGUCCUUGGCAACAAGCAUAUGUAAAUAUGCAUCAACCAGCUUAUCUCCGAUCACGCUAAUGANNNNNNNNNNAGCAUCGGUGGCCCCAAAUUUAGAUUCGAGCGCCUCCCACAAUUCCUUGGCAACAUGCAUAUGUAAAUAUGCAUCAACCAGCUUAUCUCCGAUCACGCUAAUGACUGCUCCAAGGAAUAGGACGGUGGCCUCCUUAAACAUCUUCUCUUGUUCAGGAGUGAUAGUUUCCGUAGGAGUGACACCGGCUACCCAGAACACGUUCAUAGCUGUGAGCCAUAAGGUGGUUCUCGUUUGCCAACGCUUGAAAAAAGUACCGAUAAACUUAUCCGGUUUCAGUGCAGCAGCAAAACCAUUACUCGAAAAAUUCCUACGGACAUUAGGUUUUUGGAUUGUUGAGUAAAUAUGCAAUUUUCCGAGUAGAUUAAUCCAUGAAAUAAUUACUAACAUGGCAUNNNNNNNNNNUGGUCGCUCCUUCACGCGGGCAGCGGUGGGUGCUAGUGUCUGGAUGUUGUCCCUCACACGUAUUCCGGAAUCAGCGGGCAAGGGGGAGGGACGCGGUGGAGUAGUAUGUGCACCGCAACGGCGGGAUGCAGGUGGAACCCGACAAGGACGAGCGGCUGCUCGCAUGAGUCUACCGUCGGUCUCUCACGAGGCAGAGGUNNNNNNNNNNUAGACAUUAGGUUUUUGGAUUGUUGAGUAAAUAGGCAAUUUUACGAGUAGAUUAAUCCAUGAAAUAAUUACUAACAUGGCAUUGACUAGGUNNNNNNNNNNGGACACUUGCCGCCUACGAUGGGAGAAUGUCAAGGCGCUGCGACUUACUAUUGAGCAGUCAAAGCGCGAGACGAAGGUGUUGAGUAAAUAGGCAAUUUUCCGAGUAGAUUAAUCCAUGAAAUAAUUACUAACAUGGCAUUGACUAGGUUCAUGACAUACUGAUCAUGGAGUAUACUAGCAAGUACUACACAUAUAGCAGAAACAUCUACGCAUAUAGGCAAUACUACUAGUGCAGAUAGANNNNNNNNNNNNNNNNNNNNNNNNNNNNNNNNNNNNNNNNNNNNNNNNNNNNNNNNNNNNNNNNNNNNNNNNNNNNNNNNNNNNNNNNNNNNNNNNNNNNAAUUAUCGUAAAAGAAAAUAAAUAAGUAAUUAGAAACAAAAAAGAAAGAAAAAAAAACUCGGAAAAAAUUAAAAUAAAGGAAUCAACUAAAAAGCUUUUAUAAACCUCUAGUAUUAUUGAAACUAAAAUUAUAUAGAAUUUUGUUACAAACUUUAAUAGCAAAAAGAAUUAUCAUAAAAGAAAAUAAAUAAGUAAUUAGAAACAAUAUAAAAUAUAAAAUAAGUAUUUUGUUGUAAGUAGGAACAAAACAAAAUAAGCUAACUAGCACUUUGAAUUUAAGUAGAAACAAAACAAAAAUAAUGAAAAAAAAUAGAUUCAAAUUUAGAGAGAAAUUCAACCUAAAUUCAAAGUGCUAGUUAGCCUAACUAGCUCUUUGAAUUUAAAGUGCUAGUUAGCCUAACUAGCUGUUUGAAUUUAGGUUGAAUUUUGUCUCUAAAUUCGUACCGUUCGACAUUGCAGCCGCGGCGGAGCUUAUAAACAGGCUCGGCAGCCCUUCGCUUGACGAGGUGGGACUAAACAUUCAACCGCACCGCGGCUGUGGCAGGCACAUGCCUUUAGUCCCGGUUGGUGGCUCCAACCGAGACUAAUGCCCCUCUUUAGUCCCGGUUGGUGCCACCAACCGGGACCAAAGGCCUCUGCUUCCCGCCCUUUGGGGUGCCGAAAAGAGGCCUUUGGUACCGGUUGGUGCCACCAGCCGGGACCAAUGCAACCCUUUAGUCCCGGUUGGUGCCACGAACCGGGACCAAUGCUUCUACUAUAUAAGCCAACACUUAUGGAAAUUUUCAGAUUUGACGGCGCCGCGAGCUCAUCCACGCCCGACAACGCCGCGAGCUCAUCCAUGACGCCGCCAGGCUGCCCCGUCGCCCUCCGCCCCCCAAGCCCACGCCGUCGCCCGUCACCGUCGCCCUCCGCCCCCCGCCACCGUCGCCGUCGCCCUCCGUCGCCCCCGAGCCGUCGCCAGUCACCGUCGCCCUCGCCCNNNNNNNNNNNNNNNNNNNNNNNNNNNNNNNNNNNNNNNNNNNNNNNNNNNNNNNNNNNNNNNNNNNNNNNNNNNNNNNNNNNNNNNNNNNNNNNNNNNNACUAUUUUCUAUUUUCAAAAUUAAUUAUUUUGACUAUCCAAACAAUUAACUAUUUUGUUAUUUUCAAGUAAAAACUAUGUUUAUUAAAAUUCUUUUUGCAAAUUUGAGAAUUUGACAAAAUUAUGAAAAUGAAAAGUGUUUGAAAUUGAAUAAAUAAUUCAAAACUAUUUUCUUUAGUACAUUCCAUACAUGCAUUACAUAAAAGGUUUAAUACAUUAUUACAUUAUUGCACCAAUAUUCCUAUCUAUUAUUUCUGUUUUCUUCUGGGUCGUAGCCAUGGAGAAUCUUCAUCAUUCAGUAGGAUGCUUGGGUCAGUUUUCACUUUGAAGGGCGGAAUUUCAUGAAACUUAUUAUAAUCUACUGACAUGUCUGUCUUGUCAUCUACUCCCACGAUGUUUCUUUUCCCUGAAAGAACUAUGUGGCGUUUUGGCUCAUCGGACGAUAUCUCAAAUUAUUAACUAUUUUGUUAUUUUCAAUUAAACGAUGUAUGAGGGUUUCGAACGAGAACUCAUCUCUUACAAAGGGAUUUCAUCUUUUUGAACUUAUUUAAACUCCAUACUUUUUGUGUGUUCAAAAUGCACCAUUCAAAGGCACAUCAUAAAAUUUCAACAAUUUCUGACUUCAUUUGGUAUUUUUCGUGCAUUUACUUAUCUUUUUUGAGCUAGUUGACCCUAAAAUUGAAAAGCACUACAAAUGAACUCUGAAAAUGUUGAAAGUUGGCAUGCUAUCAUCAUUUUACCCACAUAGCAUGUGUUAAAAAGUUGAGAGGGCUACGACAAAAACUGGAUGCACUUCGUUUACAAAACGGACAAUCUCUCUCAAAGUAUCACGAUUUCAAACGAGAACUCAUCUCUUACAAAGGUUUAUUAAAAUUCUUUUUGCAUAUUUGAGAAAGUAUCAACAUUUCGAACGAGAACUCAUCUCUUACAAAGGGAUUUCAUUUUUUAUGAACGUAUUUGAACUCCAUACUUUUUGUGUGUUCAAAAUGCACCAUCAAAGGCACAUCACAAAAUUUCAACAAUUUCUGACUUCAUUUGGUAUAUUUCAUGCCUUUUUGUGUGUUUAAAAUGCACCAUUCAAAGGCACAUCACAAAUUUUCAACAAUUUCUGACUUAAUUUGGUAUAUUUCAUGCAUUUACUUUUGUUUUUUUGGGCUAGUUGACCCUAAAAUUGAAAAGCACUACAAAUGAACUCUGAAAAUGUUGAAAGUUGGCAUGCUAUCAUCAUUUCACCCACAUAGCAUGUGCUAAAAAGUUGAGAGGGCUACGACAAAAACUGGAUGCACUUCGUGUACAAAACGGACAAUCUCUCUCGAAGUAUCAACGUUUUGAACGAGAACUCAUCUCUCACGAAGGGAUUUCAUUUUUUUGAACUUAUUUGAACUCCAUAAUUUUUGUGUAUUCAAAAUGCACCAUUCAAAGGCACAUCACAAAAUUUCAACAAUUUCUGACUUCAUUUGGUAUAUUUCAUGCUUAUUUGAACUCCAUAAUUUUUGUGUAUUCAAAAUGCACCAUUCAAAGGCACAUCACAAAAUUUCAACAAUUUCUGACUUCAUUUGGUAUUUUUCAUGCAUUUACUUAUUUUUUUUGAGCUAGUUGACCCUAAAAUUGAAAAGCACUACAAAUGAACUCUGAAAAUGUUGAAAGUUGGCAUGGUAUCAUCAUUUCACCCACAUAGCAUGUGCUAAAAAGUGAAGAGGGUUACGACAAAAACUGGAUGCACUUCGUGUACAAAACAGACAAUCUCUCUCGAAGUAUGAGGGUUUCGAACGAGAACUCAUCUAUUGCAAAGGGAUUUCAUUUUUUGAACUUAUUUGAACUCCAUACUUUUUGUGUGUUUAAAAUGCACCAUUCAAAGGCACAUCACAAAUUUUCAACAAUUUCUGACUUAAUUUGGUAUAUUUCAUGCAUUUACUUUUGUUUUUUUGGGCUAGUUGACCCUAAAAUUGAAAAGCACUACAAAUGAACUCUGAAAAUGUUGAAAGUUGGCAUGCUAUCAUCAUUUUACCCACAUAGCAUGUGUUAAAAAGUUGAGAGGGCUACGACAAAAACUGGAUGCACUUCGUUUACAAAACGGACAAUCUCUCUCAAAGUAUCACGAUUUCAAACGAGAACUCAUCUCUUACAAAGGUUUAUUAAAAUUCUUUUUGCAUAUUUGAGAAUUUGACAAAACUAUGAAAAUGAAAAUUGUUUGAAAUUGAAUAAAUAAUUCAAAACUAAAAGGUUUAGUACAUUCCAUACAUGCAUUACAUAAAAGGUUUAAUACAUUAUUACAUUAUUGCACCAAUAUUCCUAUCUAUUAUUUCUGUUUUCUUCUGGGUCGUAGCCAUGGAGAAUCUUCAUCAUUCAGUAGGAUGCUUGGGUCAGUUUUCACUUUGAAGGGCGGAAUUUCAUGAAACUUAUUAUAAUCUACUGACAUGUCUGUCUUGUCAUCUACUCCCACGAUGUUUCUUUUCCCUGAAAGAACUAUGUGGCGUUUUGGCUCAUCGGACGAUAUCUUCUUUUGCUGAUUUCUUUUUCUCGUUUUUGUAGACAUGUCCUUCACAUAGAAAAACCUGAGUGACAUCAUUGGCUAGGACAAAUGGUUCGUCCAUGUACGCAAGAUUGUUGAGAUCCACUGUUGUCAUGCCGUACUUUUGGUCUACAACUACCCCGCCUCCUGUCAGCUUCACCCAUUUCCACCGAAACAAAGGGAUCUUAAAAGUAGGUCCAUAGUCAAGUUCCCAUAUCUCCUCUAUGUACCUGUAAUAUGUUUCCAAACAGUGCCCAUUCUCGUCUGUUGCAUCAAAGCGGACACCACUAUUUUGGUUGGUGCUCUUUUUAUCUUGGGCAAACAUGUAAAAUGUAUUCCCAUUUAUCUCAUACCCUUGGAAGGUACAUAUAGUCGAAGAUGGUGGCCUGGCCAAACAGUACAACUGAUCUCCAACGGUGUCGUCAUUCAUGAGAUGUGUCUGCAACCAACUACCGAAAGUCUUCUCGUGGUCCCCUUUAAUCCAAGAGUCAGCCUUCCCCGGGUUUUCGGAGCGUAGAAUAUUCUUGUGUCUCACGAUAUACGGAGCCACCAUGGUGGAAUUGUGUAGAACUGUGUAGUGUGGUUGAGAGAAAGAAUGCCCUUCCAUACAUACUUUUGCUUUCCUUCCUAGUGUGCCUUUUCCUGUCAUCCUACCCUCAUACCGAGAUUCAGGAACACCAAUCGGCUUAAGGUCAGGAAGAAAGUCCACACAAAACUCAAUGACCUCCUCUGUUCCAUAGCCCUUGGAGAUGCUUCCUGCUGGCCUAGCACGGUUACGAACAUAUUUCUUUAAGACUCCCAUGAACCUCUCGAAGGGGAACAUAUUGUGUAGAAACACAGGACCGAGAAUUCUAAUCUCUUCGACUAGGUGAACUAGGAGGUGUGUCAUUAUAUUGAAGAAGGAUGACGGGAACAACAACUCAAAGCUGACCAGACAUUGGACCACAUCAAUCUGUAACCCUGAUAGACUUUCUCAAUCGAUUACCUUCUGAGAAAUUGCAUUGAGGAAUGCACAUACCUUCACAAUUGCCAGGUGAACAUUUUCCGGUAGAAUUCCCCUCAAUGCAACCGGAAGCAAUUGCGUCAUAAGCACGUGGCAGUCAUGAGACUUUAGGUUUUGGAAUUUUUUGUCUUUCAUAUUUACGAUUCCCUUUAUAUUCGACGAGAAGCCAGUCGGGACCUUGAUAUUGAAAAGGACUUCAAAGAAGAUUUCCUUCUAUUCCUUAGUAAGAGCGUGCGUAGCUGGCACGCCCUUGAAACUGCCCUGGAUGCAUGCCAUCUCUUCCUUUAUGACGUUCCUGGUCCUCCCGUGCUUCCAGUGUAUCUUUUGACUUCCCAUACAAGCCCAGGAAGCCUAGAAUAUUCACGCAGAGAUUCUUCGUCAGGUGCAUCACGUCGAUUGCCGAGCGGAGCUCAUGGACUUCCCAGUAGGGUAGCUCCCAAAAUAUAGAUUUCUUCUUCCACAUGGGUACGCGCUUAUGAGGGCCGUUAGGAACAGGUUGGCUGCCAGGACCCUUUCCAAAGAUUACUUUUAGAUCUUUGACCAUAUCAAAUACUUCAGCACUAGUACAGAUGACAGGCUUCCCCCGUGGUUCUGCCUUGCCAUUGAAAUGCUUGCCUUUUUUCUUUAAGGGAUGCUUGGGCGGAAGAAAACGAAGAUCGUACGGGUACACAUUCUUCCUACAUUUGUCCAGAUACAUACUUUCUGUCUGAUCCAAACAGUGCGUGCAUGCAUUGUAUCCCUUGUUUGACUGUCCUAAAAUGUUACUAAGAGCAGGCCAAUCAUUGAUGGUUACGAAAAGCAAUGCUCGAAGGUCAAAUUCCUCUUGUUUGUGCUCGUCCCACACACGUACACCUGGUUCGGCCCACAACUGUAAAAGUUCAUCAACUAAUGGCCUUAGGUACACAUCAAUAUCGUUGCCGAGUUGCUUUGGACCUUGGAUAAGCACUGGCAUCAUAAUGAACUUCCGCUUCAUGCACAACCAAGGAGGAAGGUUGUAGAUACAUAGAGAAACGGGCCAGGUGCUGUGACUGCAACUCUGCUCCCCAAAAGGAUUCAUGUCAUAUGUACUCAGACCAAACCAUAAGUUCCUUGCGUCAGCUGCAAAUCUCGGGAACUCUCUCUCGAUUUUUCUCCACUGCCGACCACCAGCGGUGUGCCUCAACUUAUCGUCUUUCAUAUGAUAUUCCAUGUGCCAUCGCAACAACUUCGCAUGAUCUUUAUUUCUGAACAGACGCUUCAACCGUGGUAUUAUAGGAGCAUACCACAUCACCUUGGCAGGAACCCUCUUCCUGGGUGGCUCGCCCUCAAUAUCUCCAGGGUCAUCUUUUCUGAUCUUAUACCGCAAUGUAGUGCAUACCGGGCAUUUAUCCAUAUUCUCGUACUUCUCACCGCAGUAGAGGAUGCAGUCAUUAGGGCAUGCAUGUAUCUUCUGCACGUCUAAUCCUAGAGGGCAGACAAGCUUCUUUGCUUCGUACGUGCUGGUGGGCAAUUCGUUCUUUCUUGGAAGCAUCUUCUUCAUCAGUACCAGCAACUUUUCGAAUGACGAGUCAGUCACACCGGUCUCUGCCUUCCACUUCAGCAAUUCGAGUGUGCUACCCAGCUUCUUCUGGCCAUCUUCACAAGUUGGGUACAACAAUUUGUUGUGGUCCUGUAACAUCUGCUCGAACUGCAACCUCUCCUUUUCUGUGUCGCAACCUCGCCGUGCAUCAGAAAUGACCCGGCCAAGAUCAUCAGCGGGCUCAUCUGGUUCCCGUUCUUCAUCCUGAUCUUCUUCUUCAUUGUCUUCCAUUGCGGUAUCAACAUACUCAGGGAACAUAGAUCGGUAGUUGUCAUCAUCGUUCUCUUCUUCUUCAUCGUCGUCUUCCAUCAUAACCCCUCUUUCUCCGUGCUUGGUCCAAACAUUAUAGCCCGACAUAAAACCAGACCGAAGCAGGUGGCUCUGAAUGACUCUUGAGGAAGUGUAAUCCUUCUCAUUCCGACAUUCAACACAUGGACAAAACAUAUAGCCACCACCAUGCUUGUUCGCAUCGGCUGCAUCUCGAAAAGAAUGCACACCUUCUCUGUAAGCGGUUGUGCGUCGAUCACCGUACAUCCAUGGAUGGCUCAUCUGCGUUAUACGACAGUAUAUCAAAUACAAUCACGAUCCUAAAAAUUAUUACCGCACGGUCUAAACGAGGAAAUAUAGUUGCUAACCUUUUAGAAUAAGUAGAAAUAAAGAGGAAGAGGUUUAAGCGUGGCUCGGGCAUCUCAUAUCGUAGUUGUGUUCGGUGAACUGAAGCGGCAUCGCUCUAACACACAUUUCAACAAACACCUCUAGUGCAUCCAAGAAAAAUGGAGAGCUAGCACACACCCACACUCUUCCAUCCAAGAAAAAUGCAAGGAAGAGGGGAGAGGGGGGCUGUGGCCAAUAUAUAUAGGCAGAGGACUUUAGUCCCGGUUUGAGACACAAACCGGGACUAAAGGUGGCGCACAUGCGGGCUGCACACCGCGUAGCCCUUUAGUCCCGGUUUGAGACACAAACUGGGACUAAAGGCUCCUUACGGGCCGAGACCAAAGCCUCGUGGGCGGCAUUGCGAUUUGGGGCGAUGUGGCCGGGCCUUUAGUCCCGGCCCAGAUGGAGGCCGGGACUAAAGGGUCCAGCCAAAGGCCCGUUUUCCACUAGUGAAUAUAUAGCAAGCCAAUACGAGGUGUCAGUUUUUUGUUUGCAAAGUCACUUGCGAACAUCACUUUUUGUGAUCUAAUAUUUAGUUAUUGAUGCUGAGAGAACAUCCAUUACUAGGAAAAACCUUAUACAUAGAACCUUAGCAGUAGUGCUGGAUAAACGGCGGCGCUACUUCUACAUAUGAGUAGCGCGCAUCAAGUAAAAGCGCUACUACUAACUACUUAGCAGUAGCGCGGCUUUAAGAAACACGCUACUACUAAUAUUGCCCCACAGUUCCCGCCAGGCUAGAUUUAGUAGUAGCGCGCCCCAGAUAACAGCGCUACUGCUAACAGAAUAGUAGUAGCGCUUGUUUCCGACCCACACUACUGCUAAGUGGGGCGUGCACUUAUAUCUUCUUCGCCCCUGCACGCCCCUCUCGCUCACUCUCUCCCUCUCCACACUCUGCAUCGCCGCCGCCCCCCUCACUCCCUCCCUCUCCACUCUGCGUCGCUGCCCCGCCCCUCACUCCCUCUUUCUCCCCCUCCUCACUAUCUCCCUCUCCACUCUGCGUUGUCUCCCCACGCCUCACUCCCUACCUCUCCCCCUCCUCACUCUCUCCCUCUCCACUCUGCGCUGCCGCCGCCGCCGCAGGUCCUGCCCGGCGACCUCGCCCCCGGCCCCGACCCCGACCUUGACCCCGGCGACAUUAACCCCUGCCCCGACCCCGACACCGAACCGGCGUCUGGUGAGACAUCCCCACGCCUAGGGUUCUUGCUAGUAUUCUUUCGAGGGACAAUAUGAUGUCCCGAACGUUGUUGUGAGAAUAUUUGCAAUAUAUAUAUUUGCAUGUUAAGAAAAAUAGGUUAGUGCGCGCUAGCUAAAUUCAAAUGAGAUGAUUGAUGUACAAAUGAUAACUAGAAAGUAAAACAUUAAACGAUAAGAAAAUUUUCUCAUAGGAAUUUCUCGACGUCGACGAUGCCCGGCCCGCAUCCUCAUUGUCCAGUGGUCGGCGAGAGCCUGCUUGAUAGGCGCCAUGUCCGGGACUGGGCUCCGUCGGGCUGACACUGGGAGGUGCUACCUUCCCGGGCGUGCACCUUAAUGAGGAAUUAAUCUGGGUCUCGUCGUCGACCCGGAGCUUCUUUGGUGGCGGUCGCGUGGGACACUAUCGGUGCUGAGGGAGCCGGGCCCCAUGGAGGUGGUACGGCAUUGUGUCAGGGAGGAGGACGAGCACGUCCAACGCUACAUGGUUGGAUUGGAUGCUAGGUUCUCUAAUACCUGACAUGUUCUUCACGGAUAUCCCCCGAGCUAUGAUCCGGUAAUGGUUCAUUAUCUUUGGGUUGCCACCGCCUAUGCCGUGAGACGUCAACUGGAUUUGUAUUAGUGAUAUUAUAUGAUAAUAUUUGAGAUGUAUUAGUGAUAAUAUCCGAUGAUGCAUUAACUGGCACUAGUAGAAAAGAGGGCAUUUGUCCCGGUUCGUAAGGGCCAUUAGUCUCGGUUCUUGAACCGAGACUAAUAGGUCGUUACUAAUGCCUCCCCCUUUAGUCCCGGUUCUUACACGAACCGGGACAAAUGGGCAUCCACGUGGCCGCUGCGGGCAGCCCAGGCAGGGAGGCCUUUGGUCCCGGUUGGUGACAUAAACCGGGACCAAAAGGCAUCCACACGUCAGAAACUGGCUGCAGCUGAGGUUUUUUUUUAAAGUGGCUGGUUUAGGGGUUUUGGGGGUUAAUUUAGGUUGUUAUUAGCUAGCUAAUAGAGAGAAGUGUCCUCUCUUAUCUUCGUGUUUGGUUUACCAACGCUACUGCUAUGUUCAUUUCACCCGCUGAUAUAUAAUAACUCUUCAUGCUCGCAUCAUACAUCAUCAUAUAUAAUAACAAGUCCUACUAAUCAUGCAUCAUCAUACAUCCUAAUAACAAGGAGCAUCCAUGAGCAUGCACAAAAUUUCAUCAGGCACACCACCAUCAUACUUAAAAGUGCAGUAGCAGUUCAACACUAUUGUACUUAAAAGGUUUAUACUAUAAAGAUUAAAGCCAUCAGGUUCUUAAGAUAUUCACUCCUGCUUCUUCACCUUCUCCUUCAUCAUCUUGAUGCGCUUAGAGCGGCGAAGCCCCAGGCCAGGCUGUGGGAUGUACUCCUCUACCACAAUUGGCAUGACCCUGUCGCCCAGCUGUGGGACAUCCAUCGCGAGGCCAUCGUCGCUGCUACUUUUGCUGUCGCCAGAGUCGUUGUUGCCGUAGACAUAGCACCUGUCGCAGUACUCGCUGCUCCUGCUCCCAUUGCCUUGCCAAAUGCAAAAAAGUUUUUUUUAAAAUGGGUGUGAGAGAUAGCCUAAUGGAGAUGAAGAAGAGACACAGCAUACCGGCAUCGUCAUCGUCCUGGUAGCGCCUCCGACACAUAGUCGUGUCGAACACCUUCACGACGAACGUGGCGUUGCCGUCGCACCUGAAGACAAGGAAGUACCCGAUCCCCAGGUCGUAGGUACGGACGAACUGCUUCCAGCUACGAUCUAGGUACAUGCGGCCAUCGGCGUCGAACACCACCUCCACGUCCCACAGCUUGCGAAGCCCGUUGCCGGCCUGCCUCAGCUUCAUGUUAUGUGGCCGAUGGCCGUCCAGCAUCUUCACAAAAUUGUGCGGCAGCACCAGCCUGGAGUAUUUUUCAAGUAUAACCAUGAAGAACUCCAUCUCCGAAAAGCAGCAGAAGAGACCAACUACUACCCUUUACAACAUUGUCAUACAACAUUUACAGCAACAAGAUCAUUAGUAUUAGGGAGGACCUAAUUAAAUACCCUAUUUAAGGUAAAAUAGCAUAAAACAAUAUAGACCCUGACUCGAGGUCGGAGGGGGGUCGGUGACGGGGACGACGGCGCGGAUGAUGGAGGGGGCUCCUAGAUUUCUGCAUAGGGCUCUCUAAUUUUAGCAUUCAAAGUAGGAGUACUUUUCCAAUUUGAACAUUCAAUAAGCAAAAACAAAUCGUAAAAUAAAGUAGUAUUCAAAUUAGCAUGCAUUCAAUUAUAAGCAAGACUACAUCAUCGAUCUCUUGUGUCCAUACAUCGUCGAAUAUUAUCACUAAUUAAUACUCCUCGAAUACUAUCAUACAUAAAGCAUCAUUAAUUAAGCUAGAACCGUAGCGCCCGACGGGUAUCAUCGCGGGCGGUGGACACCCAAAGAGAAGGAACCAUCACAGGAUCAUAGCUCCAGUGAGAUCCCUGAAGAACCUGCCAGGUAUUGUCGAAACUGCCCUCCAAUGCAACCAUGUAGCGAUGGACGUGCUCGUCCUCCUCGCUGACACGAUGACGUAACACCUCCGCGGUGUCCGGAAGCCUCGGCACCGUCACUCGCCCACGCGACCGCCACCAAACAAGGAUCGGGUCAACAACGGGUUGCCUCCUCACCAACCUACGUCCCCCGAAGGUAGCACCUCCCAAUACCAGCCGGGCGGAGCCCAGUCCCGGACAUGGCCCCUCUGAUCAAGCAGGUGUCCUCCGCCGAGUCGACGACGAGGAUGCGGGAUAGGCAUCGUAAAAUGAACUAAAAAAUAACAUUUCUAUAAGGCAUGGAAAAAAACGAAAUCAAUACGUUGAAUGAAACUAUUCUAUGCUUUAUUAUAUUUCAUUUAAAUGUUAAAACUAUAAAGUAUUUGAUUUCCAUUUUAAGAUACCCACAAAAAUUAGCACUUAGGUUUUCACAUUUGUUUUGAAGGAACUACACACAUAACAAAAAAAUGUGACAAGUAUAAGACUAACCACUAUUUUCAAAAUCAAUAUACUUUCACGAGACCAUUGCUAAGUAACAUGCAUUAAAACUAGCCCGUGCAAAUGCACGGGUUGUUGACUAGUGGAUAUUAGUUUGAAUCGUCCUUUGCAUGUAAUUAGAUGCAUGAAUGAGAAAACUAGGGAUGGUUGAUAGAGUAUAUUCACUGAACGAUCUAGAAACACCAUAUGAAUUAUUGGCCACUACACAAAGUGGUUGGGUAUAUCGGAUAACAAACACAUGCUGAUGAUCUAUUCAUAGCAAGAAUGACGAACAAUGAAGAACGUGAAAGCAUAUAAACAAGGGAGUGAUAAAAAGGUAUAUAAAUGUAAAACGUGGUUGAUUGAAUAUUUUGCUAUGUGUUGUUCAAUGCACCAUGACCUCACAUCUAUUUAUGAUGUUGCUGGACUUCCCAUAAAAUGGAAGUAUUCCAAAUCCUUUAAACAUUCUUUAAAAGUUAACCGAACUCGAAUUUAAGUAUGGUUGAGACAACAAUUUCAUUUUUGGGUACCACAGUCCAUAUAUGAUCUCGGAUGGAGGUGCGCCCAAUUUCUAAUUUAUAUAUAUGGGUGAUACAAUCAACUUUCUUGUUGAACCUUUUUUGAUUUAAGGCCAUAUUUGUGCCAAAUAUCACGCACAAAGAAGUCAACGACUCACGCUACCCAUCAGACGUUGGUCAUAUGGGUAUAUUUUUGUUUAAAAAGGAGGUUAAGACCCCCGGUCUCUGCAAACAUACAUAUAUGAAAAAUGCAAACAUACAUGCAUGAAAUGAGCAUUCUACAACUAUAUAUGUAUAUAGAAAUCAAAUGUUACAAAUAAAAAAUUAAAAACAAUAAAUAAAAAAAAAACAGAGCCAUGGCGGCGGCCGGAGCGACGGCGUGGGUGGCGAGGGCGACGGCGAUGGCGGCGGGGGCGGAGNNNNNNNNNNNNNNNNNNNNNNNNNNNNNNNNNNNNNNNNNNNNNNNNNNNNNNNNNNNNNNNNNNNNNNNNNNNNNNNNNNNNNNNNNNNNNNNNNNNNNNNNNNNNNNNNNNNNNNNNNNNNNNNNNNNNNNNNNNNNNNNNNNNNNNNNNNNNNNNNNNNNNNNNNNNNNNNNNNNNNNNNNNNNNNNNNNNNNNNNNNNNNNNNNNNNNNNNNNNNNNNNNNNNNNNNNNNNNNNNNNNNNNNNNNNNNNNNNNNNNNNNNNNNNNNNNNNNNNNNNNNNNNNNNNNNNNNNNNNNNNNNNNNNNNNNNNNNNNNNNNNNNNNNNNNNNNNNNNNNNNNNNNNNNNNNNNNNNNNNNNNNNNNNNNNNNNNNNNNNNNNNNNNNNNNNNNNNNNNNNNNNNNNNNNNNNNNNNNNNNNNNNNNNNNNNNNNNNNNNNNNNNNNNNNNNNNNNNNNNNNNNNNUUUGAAUUUAGGUUUAAUUUCUCUCUAAAUUUGAAUCUAUUUUUUUUCAUUAUUUUUGUUUUGUUUCUACUUAAAUUCAAAGUGCUAGUUAGCUUAUUUUGUUUUGUUCCUACUUACAACAAAAUACUUAUUUUAUAUUUUAUAUUGUUUCUAAUUACUUAUUUAUUUUCUUUUAUGAUAAUUCUUUUUGCUAUUAAAGUUUGUAACAAAAUUCUAUAUAAUUUUAGUUUCAAUAAUACUAGAGGUUUAUAAAAGCUUUUUAGUUGAUUCCUUUAUUUUAAUUUUUUCCGAGUUUUUUUUUCUUUCUUUUUUGUUUCUAAUUACUUAUUUAUUUUCUUUUACGAUAAUUCUUUUUGCUAUUAAAGUUUGUAACAAAAUUCUAUAUAAUUUUAGUUUCAAUAAUACUAGAGAUUUACAAAACUUUUUGCUAUUAAAGUUUGUAACAAAAUUUUAAUUACUUAUUUAUUUUCUUCUAUGAUAAUUCUUUUUUGCUUUUAAUGUUUUGAACAAAAUUCUAUAUAAUUUUAGUACAAAGGCAUUUUAUUUGGUACAGAUUUUAAGGUUGGGCCCCACGAGCACCUUUUAGUACUGGUUCGUGGCAUGAACCGGUAAAAGUUUUUUAGUUGAUUAUUUCGGCAGCUGUUUUUUAGUCCCACCUCGCCAAGCGAGAGGCACUCACAGCGGUUUAUAAGCCCUGAGUGUAGAGACGAUGAAGGGAGAAGCGCAGUGCUCACCUGUCUGUUACAACAUGCAUUUCAAAUGAACUACAAAAAGGUUGAAAGUUGACGUGGUAUCAUCAUAAUAGUUGUGGAGAAAGUCUACACUUUUUCUUCGCUUGUGUCCUUUCCUUAUUGCGCCGUAACCAUGGAUAAUCUUCAUCAUUUAUCAGGAUGCUUGGGUCAGCCUUGACUUUGAAGGGAGGAAUUUCAUCAAACUUUUCAUAAUCUUCGGACAUGUCUGUCUUCCCUCCACUCCCACGAUGUCCCUUUUUCCUGAAAGAACUAUGUGGCGCUUUGGCUCAUCGUAUGAUGUAUUCGCUUCCUUAUUUUUUCUUUUUCUCAGUUUGGUAGACAUGUCCUUCACAUAGAUAACCUGUGCCACAUCAUUGGCUAGGACGAACGGUUCGUCAGUGUACCCAAGAUUGUUCAGAUCCACUGUUGUCAUUUCGUACUAUGGGUCUACCUGUACCCCGCCUCCUGACAGAUUGACCCAUUUGCACUUAAACAAAGGGACCUUAAAAUCUACAUCGUAGUCAAGUUCCCAUAUGUCCACUAUGUAACCAUAAUAUGUGUCCUUUCCCCUCUUGGUGGCUGCAUCAUAGCGGACACCGCUGUUUUGGUUGGUGCUCUUUUGAUCUUGGGCGAUCGUGUAAAAUGUAUUCCCAUUUAUCUCGUAUCCUUUCCAAAUCGUAACAGUCGAAGAUGGUCCCCUGGACAACGAGUACAUCUCAUCACAAACAGUGUUUUCAUCUCUGAGACGUGUUUCCAACCAACUGCUGGAAGUCCUGAUGUGUUCACAUGUAAUCCAGUCGUCGCACUCCUCCGGGUGUUUGGAGCGCAGACUGUUCUUGUGUUCAUCGACAUAAGGGGUCACCAAGGUAGAGUUCUGUAGAACUGUGCAGUGUGCUUGAGACCAAGAAUAUCCAUCCCUGCAUAUUAUUGUCUCCCCUCCAAGCGUGCCUUUUCCAGCCAGUCUCCCCUCAUACCGCAAUUUAGGGAGACCUAUCUUCUUAAGGUCAGGAAUGAAGUCAACACAAAACCCAAUGACAUCCUCUGUUUGAUGGCCCAUGGAGAUGCUUCCUUCUGACCUAGCGCGGUUAUGGACAUAUUUCUUUAGGACUCCCAUGAACCUCUCAAAGGGGUACAUAUUGUGUAGAAAUACAGGGCCCAGAAUGACAAUCUCGUCAACUAGUUGAACUAGGACGUGCGUCAUGAUAUUGAAGAAGGAUGGUGGGAACACCAGCUCGAAACUGACAAGACAUUGCACCACAUCACUCCUUAGCCUUGGUAUGAUUUCUGAAUCGAUCACCUUUUGAGAGAUUGCAUUGAGGAAUGCACAUAGCUUCACAAUGGCUAAUCAGACGUUUUCUGGUAGAAGCCCCCUCAAUGCAACCGGAAGCAGUUGCGUCAUAAUCACGUGGCAGUCAUGAGACUUUAGGUUCUGAAACUUUUUCUCUACCAUAUUUAUUAUUCCCUUUAUAUUCGAUGAGAAGCCAGUCGGGACCUUCAUACUAAGCAGGCAUUCAAAGAAGAUUUCCUUCUCUUCUUUGGUAAGAGCGUAGCUGGCAGGACCUUCAUACUGCUUUGGAGGCAUGCCGUGUUUUUCGUGCAAACGUUGCAGGUCCUCCCGUGCCUCAGCUGUAUCUUUUGUCUUCCCAUACACGUCCAAGAAGCCUAGCAGGUUGACGCAAAGGUUCUUCGUCACGUGCAUCAUGUCUAUCGAAGAGCGAACCUCUAGGUCUUUCUAGUAGGGUAGGUCCCAAAAUAUAGAUUUCUUCUUCCACAUGGAUGCGUGUCCCCCAGCGUCACUCGGAACAGCUAGUCCGCCAGGACCCUUUCCAAAGAUUACGUGUAAAUCAUUGACCAUAGCAAGUACGUGAUCACCGGUAUGCAUGGCGAGCUUCUUCCGGUGAUCUGCCUCGCCUUUGAAAUGCUUGCCUUUCUUUCGACGUUGAUGGUUGGUCGUAAGAAAUCAACGAUGGCCCAGGUACACAUUCUUCUUGCAGCUUCCCAGGUAUAUACUUUCGAUGUCAGCUAAACAGUGCGUGCAUGCAUUGUAUCUCUUGUUUGUCUGUCCUGAAAGGUUACUGAGAGCGGGCCAAUCGUUGAUGGUUACAAACAGCAACGCGUGCAGGUUAAAUUCCUCCUGUUUGUGCUCAUCCCACGUACGUACACCGUUUCCAUUCCACAGCUGUAAAAGUUCUUCAACUAAUGGCCUUAGGUACACAUCAAUGUCGUUGCCGGGUUGCUUAGAGCCUUGGAUGAGAACUGGCAUCAUAAUGAACUUCCGCUUCAUGCACAUCCAAGGAGGAAGGUUAUACAUACAUAGAGUCACGGGCCAGGUGCUGUGAUUGCUGCUCUGCUCCCCGAAAGGAUUAAUGCCAUCCGCGCUUAAACCAAACCAUACAUUCCUUGGGUCACGUGCAAACUCAGCCCAGUACUCUCUCUUGAUUUUUCUCCACUGCGACCCGUCAGCGGGUGCUCUCAACUUCCCGUCUUUCUUACGGUCCUCACUGUGCCAUCGCAUCAACUUGGCAUGCUCUUUGUUUCUGAACAGUUGUUUCAACCGUGGUAUUAUAGGAACAUACCACAUCACCUUCGCAUGAACUCUCUUCCUGCGGGGCUCGCCGUCAACAUCACCAGGGUCAUCUCGUCUGAUCUUAUACCGCAAUGCACUGCAUACCGGGCAUGCGUUCAAAUCCUCGUACGCACCGCGGUAGAGGAUGCAGUCAUUAGGGAAUGCAUGUAUCUUCUGCACCUCCAAUCCUAGAGGGCAUACGACCUUCUUUGCUGCGUACGUACUGUCGGGCAAUUCAUUAUCCUUUGGAAGCUUCUUGUUCAAUAUUUUUGGUAGCUUCUCAAAUCCUUUGUCAGGCACAUCAUUCUCUGCCUUCCACUACAGCAAUUCCAGUACGGUACCCAGCUUUGUGUUGCCAUCUUCACAAUUGGGGUACAACUUUUUUUGUGAUCCUCUAACAUGCGAUCGAACUUCAGCUUCUCCUUUUGACUUUCGCAUUGCGUCCUUGCAUCGACAAUGACCCGGCGGAGAUCAUCAUCGGGCACAUCGUCUGGUUUCUCUUGAUCUUCAGCAGCUUCCCCCGUUGCAGCAUCAUCGGGCACAUCGUUUGGUUCCUCUUGAUCUUCAGCAGCUCCCCCCGUUGCAGCAUCACCGUAUUCAGGGGACACAUAGUUGUCAUCGUCCUCUUCUUCUUCGCCGUCUUCAAUCAUAACCCCUAUUUCUCCGUGCCUCGUCCAAACAUUCUAGUGUGGCAUGAAACCCUUGUAAAGCAGGUGGGUGUGAAGGAUUUUCCGGUCAGAGUAAGACUUCGUAUUCCCACAUUUACUGCAUGGACAACACAUAAAACCAUUCUGCUUGUUUGCCUCAGCCACUUGGAGAAAAAUAUGCACGCCCUUAAUGUACUCGGAGGUGUGUCUGUCACCAUACAUCCAUUGCAGUUCAUCUGCGUGCAUUACAUAUAAUUAUGUGUGUCAAAAUUAAGAAAAUCAGACAAAUAUCUAUCUAAAGUAAGAAAAUCAGACAAGUAUGAUAAAGAAGAUAAGAACAAGAGGCUCACCACGGUGGUGCCGGCGACGAGAUUGGCGCGGGCGAUCAACAGCGGUGAAAACGGGGACGGGGCGUGACGGACCCCUAAAUCUAGACAAAUCUCGGGAAAAAUGAAGCUCCUAGGUCGAGCUUCGAGAGGAGAAAGCUUAACUAGUGUGGCUCGGGCAUUUCAUCGAACACCUCAUGUGCAUAGGAGGUGAGCUAGAGCACCAAAAUGCUCUCCCCUCGCCGGCCAAAAAAAACAGAGUGCUCUGCCGCGGCGAUGGGUAUAUACAGGCAACUUAUUUGUACCGGUUCGUGACAUGAACCGGGACUAAAGCCACCCCUUCUGUCCCGGUUCAUGCCACGAACCGGGACCAAUGGUUGUGGGCCAACAGUGAGGACCAUUGGUCCCGGUUCGUAGCUCGAACCGGGACCAAUGCCCACGAGGCCCCGGCCGGCCCCCUGGGCUCACGAACCGGGUCUAAUACCCCCCAUUGGUCCCGGUUCUUGAAGAACCGGGACUAAUGGGCUGGCCAGGGCCGAACGAUAGCCCUGUUUUCUACUAGUGUGGAUUAUUCGAGAUGAUGUAUUAGUGAUAUUAUAUGAUAUUAUUCGAGAGAGUUUAGUAAAAAAAUAAGGUACUUUCGGUUUGUCGUCGCUCCUUGUGUGACUUUCAUGCGUGUUCUUGCUCGAGGAAUCCUGACUGUUGUCAUGGGGAGUGAUCCUAUUCUCUUCUUUAGAUGUAUACCUUGGUAUAAUGCGCAAGGAGAGGAGAGGAGAAGCGCCCAUCUCCGACGGUCAAACUAUUAGUGUGAGAAAGUGUCCAUCAAUAUAUAUACACCAUCAUAUCAGUGUGAGAGAGUGCACAUCAACACACCAUGAGACAUGAGAGUUAUUUAAGGAAAGCCUCGACUAACGAAAAGUCAACCGAUAUUGAAUUAGGUCUAUUUGAACAUGUGUAUGUUAUUGCAGGGAACACCUCCUAGUGCCUAAGUUUUGCUGAAAUGUUGAUUCAUUUUCGUUCUGGUAAAUUUCAGACGCUCAAUAUGUCUUAUUUUAAUAAUGGUCAUGCCAAAUUUUUGAACAUAGGAAAUGUGUGACGAUGAUAGGAUCCCUAAGUGUGAACUCUGCGGCGAAGAUCACGGUUUGUGCGACAGGCCUCACCUACGAGAGGGCAGGUUCUUCACCAUCAAGCUUGACGAGAGGGCAUGCCUCACCUUACAUUGCUAACUAGGCUACUUUUAUGUUCUUCAACAGAAACUGCCGAAUGAUGUUGUGCCUCCGUUGAUGCAUAGCCAAUGUAACUUAUAUAGCUAUAUCAUGAUUAUGAUGUAACGACAUGAUUUGUGUUGGAUGAUAUGAUGAGACUAUUAUGUGUAUGAAAAUCAUAUCAUAAACUGGCAAUAUGCUCAUCAUAGAAUAGUAUAAAAUCUGUACAAAAACAUCAAAAAUACAUAAAAAAGAUAUGUAAAAAUAUAGUAGUAGCGCUCUUUAGCGCUGAAUAGGAAAGCGCUACUGCUAAGUGGCUAUAGCAGUAGCACGGGCCGAAGCGCGCUACUGCUAAACGUUAGUUGUAGCGACGUAUCAAUAGCGCUGUGCCCCGCGCUACUAAUAGCCCUUAGAGCCGCGCUACUGCUAGUAGUGAUCACUUGUAGCCAAAAAUGUUUGGGGGCAUGGGCUUGAGGGGGGGACCUCAUUAUUUUUAAUUGAUUUGGAGUCAAAAAUGAACCUAAUAGAAAUAAAUAUAGGCUUAAUUAUUUCUGAGCUGGGGGAUCAUGGCCCAGGUUGGUCCCCAUCAAGCUCCGCCACCGGUUAUAUGGCUUAAGCCCUGUGUUCCGCCAAUUAAACGGAAAUUCUCACCUCUUCUUAAUCAGUAAAAAUGGCAUGUCCUUUGCCUCGUGUCAAAAAAUAAAAGUUACAACUACAACUUCAUCGAAACCACGUUCAAAAGUUUACCAAAAUUCUUAAAAAAAAUACUCCUAACGAACUUUAAGGACGGUUUAUUUUUCCAGAUGGCAGUGUUCUAUUAGCACAUUAAGAUGCUGGUGUUCUAUUAGCACAUGAAGUUUCAAGUUCUAGCACAAAAUCAUUUACUAGGUAGGCAAAAAACAAAUUCAACAAUGCAUAGUAGAUUUCAUUGUUUGGCACUAUUUAUUACUACCACUGUAAGUUUUUAUAAGAUGUUUGUGAUCCAUAAGAGUGUCAACUUUUUUCUUAUAUUAAGUUACGGAGGGAGUACAAAAUUUAUUUUGAAUUGAGUUUGAACUUGGAAUGUUACAUUCCAGGAGAAUAUCGCUUUCUUAACACAACAUAUUCUUUUGAAAACUUCAAUUUUUUCACAUGGUUUCCAUCGUAACUUUGGUUUCCGCCUGAUAUUGACUCAUUCAUACCAACCGCUUUCCUUUUUUCAUAAUUUUAUAGUGAAUAAUUUCAGAUUUUUCAUAGUGCAUGGUUUGUAUUAGUGUACAUUUGUCAUAGCAUGUUUAUUGGUUGUAGUAUCUGGACCUAACUUUUUUUCCUAGAUAUCACAAUAUAUAGCACGUCAAUAUGGUUGGUCACUAGUGCACCAAAUCAUUCAUUCAUUCAUUGGAGCUUCUUGCGGUAGAAGGUGAAUAAUUAGGUGGGACGCACACACCAUGGUCUUAAGUUCUUAUAAGAAGCAUAGUUGUGAGGCAAUACAUCGAUUUUCUUUCAUAAAACCGUUUGGUACCAGAAACGAAAGUGACUUUUGAAAAAGGCUAUAUAUACCAACUGUUGGUAUGAGAGGCGUUGGAAAUUUAGCAGUGAGUCACAACAAAACUAGCCUUACCAGAUUAUGCCAUCACCCUCCUCCCAUUCUGCCAUGUGUUGCUGUUUAUGCCACCACCGUCGGCAUUGGGAGCGACGGGGAUGUGCCAUUGUGUGACACCCAAUGGUCCCAGGGUCUUUGUUGUGGCCACCGGUUCAAGCUCCUUGUCCUCCACAACAAAGCACAUAUAUCAUAGACUAGUUUCUGUUGUCGAUGGGCUAGUGGGUGAUGGAGUUGCGUGCAUUUUCCCCGUGCAUCGAAAACAGGCCCGAGUGAGGUGUAGCUGACAGAAAAUGACCUAUAUCCGUCUCAGUCUUAAGCUCAAACUAUAAUAAGACACUCGUUAACAUGGAGGGCCUGGAAUCCAUAGACAGGUACAUACGUCUCGCCCUGUCAUCAAACCACGCCCAGCACGCCACAGAGCUUCCACAAAUUGUUGAAUCAAAAGGACAUAUCUUGUGGUGUAGACCACAGACCACUUAAACCUUCUCUCUAUCAAACUUGUAGAACUGCAAAACGUUCAUUACGAGCUUAAGACCAGGUCAACACAUAAUUAGAGCAACUACAGUCGAGAUGGUC
RNAcentral lists this long non-coding RNA (54956 nucleotides) under Hordeum vulgare. Its description in RNAcentral is "long non-coding RNA (HVUL_LNC013739)". The record is from RNAcentral. Lineage: Eukaryota; Viridiplantae; Streptophyta; Magnoliopsida; Poales; Poaceae.